AUAAGGACUAGUACUAUGUCAAAUAAUUUCAGCUUCUAACAUUUCAUCCACCAGCUUUUCUAUCUCAUUUUUAUGAACUGUAGGAUAUAUGUAGGGUCUAAUAUUGAUAGGGGAGGUUCCUUCCUUCAAAAUAAUCUAAUGAUCAUGUGAUCUUAAAGGUGGCAAGUUAGUUGGAGGCUCAGAUAAGUCAUUAUACUGCUGCAAGAUGAUCUGCAACUCUUGAUUCUUCUCAAUGGUCAGCUGGUCUCUUUCCAUGUUAAACAUCUCUCCCCUGCACACAUACAUAUCUUCCUGAUACAUACCUACAGAGAUCAUGCACAAAUUAGCUGGUUUAGCCAAUAAUUUCUCCAUUUUCACUAGUUGCACCAGUUUAGUAGCUGGAGGUUUGAUGCCUCUCAAUGAAACCUUGUGUCCCAUGAUAGUGAAUUCCAUUCUCAAUUUCCUGAAGUGCCACAUAAUAUCUCCCAAUGUAGCUAGCGAUUGAAUACCUAAUACCAUAUUACACCCUUCAAUAGGCAACACCAACACAUCUGAUUCAAAAGAAACACCCAACAUUUUCCAUAACAAGGCUUUACAUAAGUAGUGACCUUAAAUUUUUUUCCAUCAGCAACAAAUGCACAGAAAGGUGAGAUUGAAGUUAGGACACAUCCAGGCCUUUGUGCAGUAUCUAAGUCCAAAAAAUUAUGGGUACUUCCACUAUAAAUCAAUACAUGAAUUGCCUUACCCUUGAGAGAUAUAAUGACUCUUAUGGUUCUAAAUCAUGCAAACCAUUCAUGGCAUGGACAAACACAUGAGACAGUAUUGAUCCUUCAAAUUUGGUGUCUAAUCUGUGCCCCAAUAUUGCUAAGCGCUCAGAUGGAUCCCAUUAAUUUUCUUCCAAUUCAAUCACCCCUUCCCGUUCAUGAACUUCCAUUGAAAACAAUUGUCUAUUCUUUUUACACACAUGACCAAAAGAGUACUUCUCAUCGCAAUUGAAGCACAAGCCCUUGCUUCUAAUCUCAUCCAUCACAACAGAAGGAUCCUAUCAUUUUAUAUAGGUGUUUUGGUACUAUAGUAGUGUAAUGGGAAGGUUUAGGUGUUAUCUUGUGAGGCUUGAAAUUGCUAGAUGAGUUCUGUGCAAAAGAAGGGGUAGCAUUUUAGAAUUUUAACAUGUUUUAUGGGUUAGGCAAUAUUCCAUGAAAAACUUGCUUCCAAACAAUAAGGGUUUGUUCCUGGAUCUUUGGUAAACUAAUAGCCUUGGCUAGGGUUCUUGGACCCAAUAUCUUGACAAGGAGUCCAAUUUCAAGCUUCAAGCCUCUCACAAAGCAGCCAACUACAUAAUGUUCAGGUAAAUCUACCCUAGUUAGCAAUUCAUCAAACAAAUCAACAUAUUCUUGGACAAUACCUAUUUGUUUGAGAUAUUUAAAAUCACUCAUGGGGUCAUCAAAUAAUUUUUCCCCAAAUCUGGUAUAAAGACAACCUACAUACUCUCUCAUGUAUGCCAAUCCCUAGUUAACCGAUGUUUCAUGUAGGAUUGAUGCCACUGUAAUGCCUUACCUUCCAUGCUGCACGAAGACAUUUUCACCUUGAAUUCCCCUACAAUUUCCUCAACACCAAAGAAUUGGUCACACCUCUAUAACCAAUCCUUCAACCCUUGCCUAUCUAAUUUUGGAAACUCCAAUUGAUACCUUCUAUUAUGUAUCUAAUAAGCCCCAUGUCAUUCGCGUCUGGGUUGCCCUUCUCCUGUUGCUCCAUUGCCCUCAACGGUAGCAGUUGGGGCUUUCAUUGGUACCUAGGAACAACUAUUUGAUUUCUUUCAUGGCUUGAGCCAUUUUUUCAUAUACAAUCAUACACAUUUAUGCCAUCGAAUUCACCACUACUCCAUCCAUGGAGGUUUUAAGAGAAUCUACCUCUUUUCAUUUGUUAUGCAUCCUUGUGUUAUGGUCGCUCAUUGUAGAGGUCAGAGGAUCAAAGACCCUGAUACCAAUGAUACAACCCAUAAUUCUAAUAAAAUUGUAAGAGAAGGAGCCUAAAGAGUAAAUAACAGGAAUUAUUCUUGAACAACUCAAUUCUAAUACCCUAAUUAGGAAUUCUGUAACAAGAGAAGGAAGAAGGAGAUUGUAUUUCAUUGCGUAAUUUCUAAAUGAAUAUUACAAUGGCUAAUAAGUUCCUUAUAUCAAAUCCAGCUAGGGGGAGGGAAAGUUAGUUACAACUAACUCUGGGGACAAGUGUAUCACAUGCAAAGUCACGUGCCCGUCACUACACUAAAUCAAACUAACUGUUUUAACUAACUAUCAGCUAUUACAAAUGACUUCUAAAAUACAAUUGGUCUAAACGAACUAAUGAACUGGAAUCAUAUCAAACAACUUAAAAUAACUUAAAAUCACCUGAGGAGCUUCUAUAGGAUAAUUCUUGGGGAAUCAACUUGAAGUUGAUAAAUUUCAUCUGCAUACAGCGUUCCAGGCGCACCAUGCACUUCAAUUAACAGGGGUGGCUCAAGGGUGAAGCUAGUAAAGCCUUUGCUUUAGGCCCCUAAAAUCUCAAGGUCUCAAAAAGUUUUAAUUGCUAGUCUCAUGAUUUUCUUUUCUUUUUGACGAUAUUGAAUAUAGUAAAAAAAACUAUCGUCAUUCACUAGAAAUAGUUUGAAACUUUGAAUUAAACUACUCAAAUCUUUAUAAUAAUGAAUAUUAUGUUUACAAUAACAUCCGAGGUAUAUAUUGAAAAUGCAUGGUUAACGUCUGAUUAACUUGAAUUAAUUCUUACUACUAUAAAUAAUAAUAUUACUAUGUGAAAUAUAAUACUACAUUAAAAACGACAAUUAUGAAAAAACACAAAAAAAUGACAUUAAACUUUUUAUUGAGACGUCCUUUGAACAGUCAUAAAGAGCGUUUUCUUCAUUUGAUUCUCAAAAUUAAAAUCAAAUCUCAAAAAUUGUGAAUCAAGAAGAACACAAAAACCUUUGAACAGUAGCAUUUUCUUCAUUUGAUUCUUCCCUGCUUCUUCUUCGGAUUCUAUGGAACUUAAUUCCGGGUCCGGGUCCUGCUCCGUUCCGAUUCUAAACUCAAAAGACCAAAAACAGAAUUAUAUCAAACACGAAAAAAAAAUUAUAUCAAACACAAAAUGAUUAUCUUUCAACACUAACAUGAAAUGUACUUCCCGUUCAUAGAUUCUUGCUAGCACCUCCUAGAAUACUUCUCUCCAACACCUCCCAGAAUACUUCUCUCCGUUGAGCAAACUCGUAAUCAACAUUCACUCUAAAAGAUGUGAGCAAACUCGUAAUCAACAUUCACUCUGAAAGAUGUGUCGACAAUGCCGAUAUACUCAUUUAGAAAGAUGUACCUACAAUGCCAAUACACUCAUUUAGAAACAUGUGCCGACAAUGUCAAUACACUGAUUUAGUUGAGCCACAGAAUCAAUUGGAUGAUGGGAUUCGGGCUCAAAGACGAGAACAAAGCAAUCAAACUAUGAUUUUCUUCGGAUUCGGGUAGUUGUUCUGGCCAUUCAUAGUGAAUGCCAAUGGGUUCAGGUUCAACCAUUCAAAUAACAAAGCAAUCAAACUAUGAUUUUCUUUGGAUGGGUAGUUGUUCUGGCCAUUCAUAGUGAAUGUCAAUGGGUUCAGGUUCAACCAUUCAAAUUCUUUUUGCGUAGCGUUUAUGGACAGUGUCAUAUUCUUGGAGUUUUUGGGUGUGGUUGAUUUUCGGGUAGAUUGUUUGUGGUAUUAUUUGUUCAUAAUCUUGUUUCUGCUACUAUUUGUUGUCUGUUUGUUCUUUUACUGACUUUUAUUUCUCUCUGUCUUUAACUUGGCCAUGAAUAUUUUUGCUUCAUCUUAAUUCAUGAAUAUAUCCACCUCAACUAUUGGUUUAGUUUAAGUGAAAGCAAAAUAAAUCAACAGAGAUAAAAAAUAGAGAACGCGAACUUAUGCAACUUUCAAGUUCAGGCGUUAUAUAAUGAUGAGUACACUUUUUUCUGCUAAAUUGUUGUUUGGCUAUGUUUUUUUCUUUGAUAACCGUGGUGUCCGGGACAGCAUGCACACACCUCUACUUAAUCCAUGGGAUAUCUGAUACCAGAAAACUUUGUCAACCAACGCUAGAGUUGAACAUAUGUUGUUUGGCUAUAUUAUUUUCUUUUUGGUACCAGAUAACUCUGUCAACCAAUGCUAGAACAGAUGAGAAGAAAUCACAGUGUUUGUCUAUGCUGGAAAUUGAACCACUAGGCCACACCCUUGGCUAUAUGUAGUUAUUUUUCAACGCAUAGCUUUUGGGUUCUAAAUAAAUAUUCACUCCGGCCACUAGUUUCUUCUGAAACCCAACCUCAGACUCUCCCUUCUUACUUCCAUCAGCAUUGUCGGGGAUUGUUGGAGCUGCAUUACUAGCAGCUGACAUUGUCGCCUUAAUCUCUUUCGUAAUGAUGGGCCGGGGAUCUAUCUCUUCAUCUUCAAAAGCACNNNNNNNNNNNNNNNNNNNNNNNNNNNNNNNNNNNNNNNNNNNNNNNNNNNNNNNNNNNNNNNNNNNNNNNNNNNNNNNUCUUUCCAGGCAUAUUAAGAUUGGCAGCAUCCCAACUUCUUGCAUCCCAUUCCUCAUCUUCUUCAAUUCCGUCUUCUUCAGCAUCAGCAUCAGCUACUUCUGACUUGGAAUAAAUCUCAAAGACAUUCUCCUGCUGAUUUUCUGGCACUUGUGACUCAUCCUUGGCUUUGCCAUUUGUCUGACCUUGUGGCUUUGUCUUCUUUGCUUGGUAAAUGGGCCGUUUGGUUGCCUCUUUUCUGCUCACCUCAACGCGGCCACCAGUGAGAAAUUGCUUUCUCAUUGCUUCUAAUCUUCGAGCUUCUUCCUUUUGCUUUCCUGUAAGCAAUUUCUCUUCCUGUUUCUUUCUCAACAUCUUUUCUUUCUCCCUCUCCUUUUUCAAUCUCUUCUUCUCCUCUUCAAGCCUUUCGACUUCUUCCAGUCUAAGACGUUCUUCCUCUUCUUUCCUUAACCUUUCCUCUUCAUCCUUCUUCCUCCUUUCUUCAACUUCCUUCCUUCUUUUAAGUCUCUCUUGCAUCUCCUUAACCUGCCUUGACUGCUCCUUUCCAUCUCCGAGUUUUCCAUUCGUCCCAUCGUUCUUAUUUGUUUCUUCCUCCAUCCCCAAGACGGCUGCAGCUGCUUUUCUCUCUUUUUCCUUCUCCUUCUUCUUUUUAUUCUUAUUCUUCUUACUAUUAUUCUCCUCAGCAGACUCAACUGUUGACUCGGGCAACUUUUCUUCAGACAUAAGGGCAGGAGCAGACUUUACUACUGUUGGCCAUUCACCAAGCUCUGCCAGGAUUUUGUCAAUCUCAUCGUCCUCAUCUUGUCGAACUGCACGCCCAACCUUCUUUUCCUUUGUUUUCUUCUUUGAAACCUCUGUUGCGUGCUUUUUUUGUUCAUCAGCCUCAUCCACUUUACCACUGCAUUUCGAGAUUCCGGCGUUUACUACUUCUUCUUCUUCUUCAGAAAGAGGCCUGUUUCCCCCUUUUCGUUUACUACUACGGUUUCGGAACGUCAACGUACCCCCGAGUCCUUUCGGGGCUUUGUGUGAAAAGGAAGAGAGGAAGGGUUAAGCAGAAUAACGGAAGUAGAACAAAAAGAAUCGUGCGACAAUAUGCAUGCUAUAAACAGUCUUACCCCUGUGUAUCAUUUUAUACAUGUUACGUGACGAGUCCCUUAACCGUGACCUAUUCGGAUUUGGGAAUACCACUUACCAUUCAAUACAUGGUAAGAAAAUAUUCUUUUGAAAAAAAAAAAAAACUAUUUAGUUAUUUCCCUUGUAUAUAGAUCUUUAAAUUAAUUAAUACUCUUCUACAACUACCUUUUUUGGGUAUUUUUACCUGCUGUACAUAGAAAAGAUUUUGUAAAUAUACUUGUCGAGUUUAGCUACUAUUUGUCAUUUUUUUGUUAAUCAGUAGCUCAAUUGUUCCAAAAUUUGAUUUUUACGGUUUUUUUGGGCUAGUGAAGAGAGAUUGUAUAAUAUUUUUCUGGGUAUGAGGCUUUUUUUUUGGUUUUGAAGCUAAUAAUAAUAGUUUUGUUGAUGAAUUGUGAACUUUGUUGCUAAUAAUAACGGUUUUGCUCCUUUUGUGCAGUUGAUUGUAUUUGCUGGAAGGGGUGCGAUUGUUGUAACAAUUUAUAUUGGUUCUAACAGAAAAAGAAAAUAUCAUAUUUUAGCAAUGUAGAUGAUGAGAUGCCUGGCUUUUAUAAUAUCGACUCUGGAUUUGGCAUUCUUAUUAAAAUACGAAAAAUGUGAUAUUCAUACUUAGUUUUUAUUGUUUAUGGUGGUGUAUCAUUUACUUAAACUUUUUUUUUUUUUUUUGACUAUUUUAUUUAUGUCGUCUGCGGUCAUUUGUGCCUUAUAAUUGGUUUUGUUAUGGAAAUGCUAUCAUUAAUAUUUGAUCAGAAUAUAUCAUCCUUUAAUAUAUGAAUUAAUCAGGAAGAGCUCGUCAUGCUCUUAUAAUUGGCUCAACAUUUGUUCAUAAUUUUUUUUUUUUAAAGUGGUAUUGGUUAAAUAAUUUUAAAUUUUUGAUAGGUAAUUAUCAAAUGUAAUACUUAUCGAGGAUUUUAAAUCCUACUAAACUUACCUCCAAAUCAACUGCUACAAAAUAACACAUAAUCAAUGCUUUGGUUCAAAAUUACUUGACAUAAUAACUUUACCAAACUAUCCUAUUUAAUUGUUACGAGUUGAAAUUGACCAUUUGAGCUUUCAAAAAGUCUUAGUAAAUAAGUAAGGGUAAAACAAGACAUUUUUUUGGCCUUUUCUUGAUAUGUCAAAAAUGACAAUUAAAAAAUAAAAUUAUGUGACAAAUAAUUUUAAACGGUGGAAGUAUGUCAUAAUAGAUCCAGAGAAAAUAGUUAAUAUAAAAACUAUAACUUCAUGUGUCUGUAUUUCUCGAAAACCAAUUUUUCUUUUUGAAUUUGUAUAACUCUUCAAAAAUAUUUUUUGUUGUUCAAUAAUCAAAUUUAAUUAACUUUUUAAGUUUGAAGUUUGAUUAUACUCUCUCUGUUUCAUUUUUCUUAGCUUCUAUAAAAAAAUAGUUGUUUUACUCUCUCUGUCUUAAAAUAGUUGACAUGUUUGUAUUUUGCAUAAUUUUUAAGAAAAAAAUUAAUCAGACGUAUAAUUUGACUAAUAUAUCCCUUGUUAAUUCUUUAAUUUUCAUCCAUCUAUGUGUCUCUAAAGCCUAGAAUAAUUAAUGAUACGGGUAGAGUUGGAAAUGUGGUUAAUUAUCUCUUAAUCUUUCAAGUAUAUCAAUUAUUUUGAGAUGUUUUUAGCAAAUAUGUCAAGUAAUUUGAAAUCAAGAAAGUAAUUUACUUGUCCAAUUUAUUAAAUUAAGAGAAUUUGAUUAUAUUUUUCUUAUAUGCUUAUCAUUAAAUAACGACAUAAAUUAAUACUAUUCAAAUUUGGAGUUCCAAAUGAUCAUUAAUAAAGUCAAUUUAACAAAAUAUAGUCCAGUAAAAUAAAACCUUGGAGAAAAAUGUCUCAACCUGAGAAAGUAAACAUACUCACUCAAUACCGUAUUAGUUGGUGUCUUAAGAAAUUAUAAAUAAAAAAUAAUUUUAUUAAUUCACCUCUUAAAAAGCUUUCUUGAAAACAUUACAAAGAAGUGGGAACACUUUCACAAAAAAAAAAUAAAAUUAAUUGAAGGGGUUAUUUAAGAAAACUUUUAUUAAUGCCUUGUAAUAUGAGGAAAUUUUAAUUAAUGCAGGAAAUUAAUAAACUCAGAAACCAUUAAGAAGGAUUGUAAUAUUAUUGUGUCCAUAGCUAUUGGUCAAAUAAUGAUUGUUCAUACAUAUUGAACAAUCAUUAUUUUAAUAAAUUCCCAGCAAUAGCGGAGUGAAUAUCUACGAUAUAUUCAUAAAAAUAAUUUUAAUUUUAUAUAUCAUAUGAUUUUCUGACGAAAGUGUUCUGACGAACUUCUUGCACCCCUUUCCCGCCCUUGUUUCCUAGUACAUAUAAGACAGUGUUAAAUUGCUUAAUCUUGAGCUUACAUUUUGUUUUCAGCAUAAUUUAAUUCAUGAAAAAUAAACUUCAAUCACAAAUAAAAACAUGAAGAAACAACAAUUUUAUAGAUAAACGAUAUGGGUACAAAUCUGUUCCUCCCUUGAUUCUUCUUAAUCCGAGGGCCGUCAGUAGCAUAUUUCUCGAAUGUAGGAACAUUUGAAUAUGAAUUUCUCCAUAAUUCGAGGACAGUUAAUGGCGUAUUUCUAGGAAUAUUUGGAUAAUUUGUGGAUCUUCCUGAUGUAUUUGAUUAUAAAAAAGAAAGGGUUUUGAUCUAUACAUAUCUCAUGGAUUUAUUGGGACUUUGAAGAUCGUUGAUCUCUUUGUGAAUAUCCCGUGAAUUUGUGGGAUACUGGAGAUGUUUUUUAAACGGAUAUUUUCUCCCUUUGUAUAGGCAUAAUUUAGUAUAGACAUGAUUUAGGGUUUAGGUAGAGUAGCAAUCAAGAUUUAGGGUAAAGUAGCCACCAAAAACUCUAACUAAAAUUGAAUUCUUUUUGUAGAGUGCACAAAAUUUCAAUGUCUACACAUUUCUUUAUUUUUUUCCUUCCGCGUCUUUUCGUAUUUGAAGACGAGUAUGAUCAAACAAGAGCAUAGGCAAACCCUUGCGGAAAAGGAGGUUUCAAUAUAAUGGAGAUAUAGUACACAGAGGCGGACCUACAGAAUAAUUAGGGGGUGCACGUACACCCGCUAGCCUCGAGAAAAACUCUGUAUAUAUAGUGUGUUUAGCUGUAUAUAUAUAUCCGUAAAUUUAAAUAAAAAUAGGUCGUGCAUCCUUUACAGUAAUAGAUUGGAUAGGUGAGAUGGUUGAAGUUGUUGCCUAAAAUCUCUUUUUGGAUGGAAUGACUUGGGUUCGAAACCCACCAGCAACAAUUGUUUAAUUGCUCCUUGUGCCAAAUACAUUUUGCUGCAACAUUAUUGUUGUUUUCUCCCCCCCUUCGAACAACAUUGAAAACAUUAUAUUAUAAAAUUUUCAUCUAUUAUCUAUAUAUAUAGAGAGAGAGACACACAUUAUUUUUAAAUGCAAGCUUCCCUCAAACUUUAAAAGGUAGAUUCUCCCCAUCUUAUACUACAUAAUGUUUAUUUUAUUUUUAUCUUUUAAUCAUUGACUUAUUUUUUAUUUUAAAAUUAGCAAUUUAAAGUUUGAAAUAGACUUAAUUCUAACGUUUUCUCGUAGCAACCAUCUAGCAAGUGAAUCUAUCAAAUUUUCUAUUUUUUAAAAACUUUCUAUUAUUGUUGAAAAUAUAAAAGUGUAUCGAAUUUAAGUACGGUGAAUAGCACACUUUGUCAUAUUAAACCAAAUUAAUGAUAUUCAAUAAUAUUAGAUUUUUAAAGAACUGUCUGUCGAAUUUUAACACUAUUAGUUAUUAUGUUUAAAUAUAGAGGUGCACCCGUCAAGCUCAAAUCCUGGGUUCGCCUCUGAUAGUACAAUGUGAGAAGGUUGAAUUUUCUGAAUUUAAUAAAAAUAACUCACUAAAUUGCACUUAUAUAGUAUGUGCGUACAAAUAGGUUUAGGCCCAAAACCAUAAAGGUCCAUACCCACACCCCCAUCAGCCCGAUUCCUUCGCUACCACCACAGACCCCAUUGAGAAAUAGCGCACGCGAAACUUUCAAGACCGGAUCAACAAAAUUCGGGUCACAACUCUUAACAAAAAUGAUAUCGAACUCUAUGAUAUAUAACGAGUAAUAUUGUAGCAUAAUAUUCAUAUGAUAAUGUACUCUCUGUCACAUAUUGUGCAUGAAACAAACAACAUUAUUUUGAAGAAAUCCUAAACUAUGCUUAUGCUGAUCUUCCCCUUGGCCUCCUCAUUAUUAAGAACAUUAUUCCUGUAUUAAGAUCUACUUUCUUGUAUUUAUACCGAGAAGCACAGAGUAAAUAAAACCCAAAUAUAUUUCAAAUCCUCAGAAGGGUCUUUUCUCUGCCUACACAAUUGAAAAGCACUUGUCACAGUAAAUUUACCUGAAGAUGUUGGCAUCCACCAUGGAAUAUCCCAUGGUGACGCCUCCUUACUGAUAAAGAUAUUCUCUUGUACAUACUGGGCUAUAUCAUAAGGCAAUACAUCUAUCAACUUCUGAAAAUUUCACCUGUCUUCAUCCAUCAGAUGAUUAAUAUCUUCUGAUUCGUCCUUUAUCUCAAAAUCUGAUUCUACCACAUGGUAUAAAGCACCAAGUUUUGUCCAAUUAUCAAGCCAAAUACUUGAUGAACCAAAUGUAGGCUCCCACCAUAUUUCUUGUUCCAUGGAAUCUCUAGCUUCUAGCAUUUUCUUCCAAAUUUGAGACCCCCUUUUCCAUUGGACUAGUGCGGGAAUAACCUUUUUGCAAUACUUAUUCCACAUAUAAUCAGUCCACAAUGAUCUUGUGGUUCUGAAAGUCCACCAAAGCUUAUAAUACAUGGCUUUGGAUAUGUCAAAAAGGGAUCUAAAACCCAAUCCCCCUUUCUCCUUUGGAUAACACAUUUUAUCCCAAGCAAUCCAGUGUUUACUUUUACCCUCAUCCUUACUACUCCAUAAGAAUUUAUUAAAGAUUUUGUGCAGUUCAUACAAAAUCAUCUUUGGAGGAACCACUGCAGACUAUAGAUAUAAAGGAAUACUUUGCAAAACACUGCUAAUUAGUACGGCCUUGCCACCAUAUGUUAACAGCUUACCUUUCCAGUUCUGAAGCCUCCAUUUCACCUUCCUGAUCAAUUCAUUGUAAUAUGCUUUCCUUUUCCUAGCAAGAGUGAUAGGACAACCUAAGUAUGAAAAAGGAAAAGCUCCAUGUUGAAAACCUGUGAUCAAUUUUACCUCAUUUUGCAACUCGUUGGCCACUUUUUUGUACAUUUGGUAUUCUUCACGAAUUUUCAUCACUUUCUCUAAAGAAUACCUAUCAGUUGAUGUAAAUAUGAUGGUAUCAUCUGCAUAGGUCAAAUGAUUUAUCUCUCUACUCCACUUAGACAAACCAUAAACAUGAUAUCUACCAUCUUCACAAAGAGAGUUCAGAGCCCUAGAUUGAACUUCUGAUGUAAGGAUGAAGUAGGUGACAAAGGGUCACCCUGUUUAAUUCCUCUGGUAGAAUGAAAGAAACCAUUGGAUUUUUCAUUUAUAAUAAUGGAAUGCCAAUUAUUGGCCACCAAUCUCCAAAUCAUGUCAAUAAUCAUCUCUGAAAAACCCAUCUUUCUCAUCACUUUAGUAAGAAACAACCAGGAAACCCUAUCAUAAGCCUUUGACAUGUCCAGUUUUAUCACCACAUUUGCAGGCUUAACUCUCAAUCUUAUAUCGGAUACUAUCUCCUGUGUUAAUAAAACAUUCUCAAUAAUGUUUCUUCCCUUAAUAAAACCUGAUUGAUUUUUGGAAAUCAAUUUAGGUAACAAUCCCUCUAAUCUCUCAUGGAACACUUUAGAGAUUACUUUGUUAAUGAAAUUACUGAGAUUGAUUGGUCUUAAGUCAGUGAAUCCUUCAACCACUUCCUUCUUCGGGAUAAGAAUCAGAUUGGUAUGAGUAAUACUCUUUGGGAGGGUAUUACCUUUAAAGAAAUCUCUCACCAUUUCAAGAACAUCAUAUUUCACUAUUUUCCAGGAUUGUUGUUAAAAUAACCCUGAAAACCCAUCUGGCCCACAUGCACUGCUUCCAUUCAAACCAAAAACUGCCUUGUGAACUUCAUCCAAGAUUGGGAUUUCUAUCAAAACACUAUUUUCUGCAGCUGUUACCAUUUCCGACAAAUGGUUUAGAAGAUUAAAAAUAGAACUUUCCUCCUCUUGACUAAACUGAUUCUUGUAGAAACUGACUGUUUCAUCUGCAACCUCUUUAGCAUCCUCAAUCCAUUUUUCUUCAACAUUCUUGACUCUAUUUAGCUGUAGUCUUCUCCUUCUCCCCUUUACCAGACUAUGAAAAAAUCUUGUGUUUUUAUCUCCUUUAUCAAACCAUGUGAUUCCAGCUUUUUGUCUGCAAAAUUCCUCUUCAAAAUGAAGAUAUUUCUUAACUUCUGCUUGGGCUUUUUGCAAAACCAUCCUAUUGACCAAGGAUGGAUCCUCCUCAAAUAAAUGUUCCUUUAAUUUCAUGAUUUCUUCCCGAAUUUUCAGUUGCUGAAAAAUAUCACCAAAUCUUUGUUUGCUCCAAAUUCUCAAGACCUUUUUGAGAUUCUUCAACUUAUUUUUGAAUAGCCAGAAACUAUUCCCACUCUCAGUUGUGUGCUAAUUUUGAGAGACAACCUACUUGAAAGUUUCAUCCUUCACCCAAAAGGCUAAGAACUUGAAAGGCCUUAUGAUGUUUGAGGUUUCUCUAUUCAUUGUCAAGAACAAAGGGGCAUGAUCAGAUCCUGUUCUUGACAAAUGUUUCACUUCCAAAGUAGGUAACCAAUUCAGCAUAUGAGAGUUGACCAAUAAUCUAUCUAUCCUCUCAAAAACACAAUCAGCACCUGCUCUACCAUUCGACCAAGUAAAAGGACUUCCUUUAAAAAGAAUUUCUUCUAAAUCACAGGAAUUCACACAAAAUGCAAAAUCCUCCAUUUCCUGUAGAGAUACUGGUAGUCCACCAAUCUUUUCUUCUUCAUUUAAUAUGGUAUUAAAAUCUCCACCUAUCAACCAUGGUAGAUUAGUAUCAGUAAUCCUGUAAACAUCACUUCACAGAUUCAGUGUUUCUAACUCUGUACACUUGGCAUAUACAAUAGUAAUCAACAUUUUUUCCUGACUGUCCAGAAAAGUAGCUUUUAUGGUGACCUGCUGCUCCUCAUCAUUUAUUACUUCCACGUCAAUUCCUUCUCUCAGGAAAAACCAUAUCUUAUUAUUACUAUUUACACCUGCUAUACCCAUGUUCAACCUUCUUUUAUACUUUUGAAUUCGACUUCUGUUUUGAAAAGGCUUUAUGAGAUCUAUUAAGAAAUAUUUAUGAUGUCUAUUAAGCAUCUGCAACCUAUUAAAAGCUUGCUGAGUGUUAAUAGAUCUUAUAUUCCAAAAAAUAGCUUUUAUAAUCAUCUAUUAAGCUUAUUUGUUGUCCCUUUUUUUGAAACCACUAUUUUUGGUGUUUGAUCUUCUGAUUCGAUCUGCUUUCUGCUCUUUCUCCUUAUCCUUUUUGUUGUUUUGGGUGAUAGAUCAGCCAUUCUAUCCACUUGUUCCCGAACAACAUCCCUAUCUUAUUCUUCCUCUAACACCUCAUCUGUUGUUAUGAUUGUCAUUGAGUUCUCUGCAAUAUUUGUUCCCUGUCCAUCAUCCACCUGGUGUGUCACAAUCUCAUGGAGUGUUUGUGUUGGACUCUUUUGAUGUGGUGUUGCCUCUAAAAGCAAUUGACUGUCCUUUCCCUUAUUUCCUGAAUUUUCAAUAUGUUUAACAGCCACCUGUAACACAUCUGAUUCACUCUUCUCUGCCUGUGACUCGGAGAUAUCAUUAUGGUCAUUCAUUACUGCCAAGGCAAUUGGUUGAGUAGAGAGUACAAUAUCUGCACAUUCAUUUGACUUCUUUGUUACUAUUUCACCCAUUUCAUUCUCUGGUUUCUCAUCUUCCUCCAUUGUAUCACUAGAUUUGACACUGUUUUCAUUUUCAAUUGCUGACAUCUUUUCAUUGUUGUAAUCAUGUGUGCUUUUAUCACCUUCUUUCCCUGAGGAGCUACUAAUAUUAGCCUUCUUUGGAGAUGUAAAGGUUCUCUCUACCCAAUCUCUGGUUGACUCUUCUGUGCUGUCAUCAUAUUUACUUGCCGCAUUCUUAUUAUUAUUUGAUUUCUACUCAUUCUCUUGUACUUGCUCUUCCAGUGCUUCUCCUUUUUCUACAGCUUUAUCACUUAUCCUUUUUCCAUUCUUUUUUGUAAAAAAUCUGUUAGUAGGAUUCCAUCUACUAAUAACAGGUCUUCUUUCAUCUGUACUUUGUUUUUGCUGCUCAGAUGGUUCUGUUUCUCCAGGAAAUUCAAUCUCCUCCUUCAACUCUGGAUGUAACACCCUACAAUCGACCUCACUAUGACCCUGGAGUUUACAUCUUUUACAAUAUACUGGUAAUGAAUCGUAUUGAAUUUUCACUUUCACAAUUCUUUUUUCCUUGCUUGAUUCAUUUUUAAUUUCCAUGUGAACAAAUUUAGGUUUCUCCACUAACAAAUCCAGUUGGAUCUUCACCCUGGCACAACUUGGGUGAGUUUUGUUCACAGUUGCUAAAUCCAGAUGGAGAGGCUUUCCCACAGCUGCUGCCAAUGAGAACAAAGCUUCUUUGACAAAAAAGGUGGGGAGGAGGUCUGGAAAUGAGAUCCACACAGUUGUUUGUGAGGUUUCUUUAUUUAGUUUGAACUUUGCAUCAUAAAUGAAGGGACGCAUCUGAUAUGAAGCACCAUCCUUUGCAGUGAUGUAAUAAGCAUUCUUAGACAUAAUAUUAAUGAAAUCUUCUUCUAGAUCAAAUCUCAUUAAGAUAUGUCUAUUUCUCAGAAAACCAAUCUUACAUUCACCUUUAAUCCCACACUGCUUAGGGAUUAAAUCCCUUAAUUCUGAUAAUUCAGGCUAGCCAUAAGAGAAUUUUCCAACAAUAGCGUAUUGCAAGUUUUCGAUUAUGUUCAUUCUGUUGACUUCUUGCUCCGUCCAUUUGACUACUGGAAUUCCAUCUAUUAGACCUACUUUCUUUAUUGGGAUGGGAUCGACUACAGUCGUUGUCUUUGUAACUUUAUUCAAAUAACCAUUAGGUUUGAUGAUCGCUGCAUAGGAGGUGGCUGGAGGAGAGAUGUUUGGAAAGAUUGGAUUUGAGAGUUGGGAUAUGUUAGUUGCUGAGGGUAAUGGUGGAAAAUCAGAAUGGUCAGCCAGCGGAGGCGGCUGACCAUCUACCGGAAUCAUGGAGGGAUGGUUAAUUGGAGGAGUGUUAUAUAUGGCAUUUCAAGAAAUUUACAACUUUUGGCCACUGUUACCCUUGGAUACAGGGAAUACCGCAAGAAUGGCCACUAUUGGUGGAUCUACUUCAAAAUUAUAGACCGGCAGUGAGAACUACCUAGGUUUUUUGGAAAUUUCCUAGCAAAAACUGGUUCAAAUGUUAUUCGGACGGGUCUUCUAAGGGUAAUCCUGGUCCAAGUUCAAUAGCUUUCUAUGUUAGAAACCAUGAGGGUGACAUACAGAUUGCUUUGUGUAAGCAAAUAGCAGACACCACUAGUUUAUUUUCAGAAGCUCUGUCUAUGAAAGAGGGUUGUGAUUACUGUUUUGACCACGGUUUUUCAUCACUCAUUCUAGAAAUGGAUUCCUUAGCACUCAUGAAGAUAGUGACAAGAGAAUGGGAAUGUCCAUGGAAAAUUGUGAUGUUAAUCAAGAGAAUAAGAAACUACAUGAAGGGAGGACAAUUGCAGAUUACUCAUACUCUCAGAGAAGGAAAUGCCUUGGCAGAUUUUUUAACUAACAAGUGUUUUAGUUUUGCAGGUACACAAGCUUAUAAAUCAUUUGCAGAAUUACCACAAGAGGCAAAAGGCAUCGCAAUCUUAGACAAGCAACAAGUUCCACAAUUAAGAAUCAAGAGGAUGAAGAAAAAAGCUACAGAUUAACAACACAGUCGGAAUAAAGCAUCAAAAGAGAGUACUUCGCAUUUAAGGAGAGUUUCAUUUAGUGAAAAGUAAUGCAGCAGCUACAAAAAAUUCAAACAGAUUUGAGCUCAAACACCCGAAAAACAAUAAGUACAGCUUGGAGAUAGCUCCAAUCGAAUUUGAAUACACAGCACCUGGUGAGAGUUUUAAGGUGACUUGAGUUGUAUUUGGUUCAAAGCAGCUUAUUUUUUUUGACUGUUUUGAAGCUCAAGAUUAAUCUACAGAGAGGAACAACAAGAUAUCUCAGAAAUGAUGGAAGAUUAUUUGAUUAGAUGUGGUUGUCGAAGACACCGGAACAACAAACAGAUUGAAAGGAGAUGUGAAGAAGAAGAAGAACAGUACACUUUCCAAUUUCCCUGUUUUGCCUUUAGGAUUAGAAAGUCUUUUGACUUCCCUAAUUUUCUUACUGCAAUUGGACUUGGGUCUUGUCUGACCUAAGUAUAUUUGUACAAGCUUUAACAUUUUGAUUUAAUAAAUGGCCCAAAAGGCCGAUCUUUGACUUAAAAAGAAAAAAAAAAGUACAUUGUUUUCCUUAGGAAAUUGCUCAACCAAAAAUUGUGUGCACUUGUGUUUUUUUCCGACCACUUAAUAUUCUUCUUCUCCUCUUAAAAGGAUUUUAUUGAGUGGAGGGAAGGGUGCUCAGGGAAAAAGAGAAGAAGAAGAACACAAUAUUUAGCCAUCAUGGAGAAAAUAGACAAAAAAAUAGUGGAGAAUAAGAACUUCAAGAAAAUUGAUCAUGAUGAUCAUAACGAUAUGCUUGAGAAUAUUACUAUUUCAGAAGAUCAAGGUGGUCUAGGCCACAGCCCUGUUGUUGGGCAUGGAGGUGGACCCCCAUGAUGAAAAUGCAGCGGCGAAUGUAAAGUGUAGUAAUUUAUACGGGUUCAGUCAAUUUCAGUUUUGAUCCGAACUCUACAUAUGUGCUAAAAAAUUCACGAAACAAGUAAAAAUAUUGAAUUCCAAACUCAUUACACACUCCUUGAUGGUAGUACUAGUAUUACUUUCCUUAUUGUCGCCUAGUUUAGAUAUUGGAGUACAAUGAUUUAUAUCUAUCUGCUGUAAACUGUGUAACAUGUAGUUUGUAUCUUACGGUAUUGGUUUGUGAAGUGUAAUUUGUUAUAUAUGUAUGUGUAAGCUUUCCUUUUAAUUAUCUAAACUUCAAACUGUCUAUGCAAUGAAUGAAUGAAUUAAGCUAUUUAAACGAAGAUAAAUAGUGCAUAUUUGAUCAACAAUAAAAAGACUGAUGCCUGAUGCAGGAUUACUUGGACUCUCUGCAAUAUGUUCACAAUUACAAUAUUAUUAAAUGACAGAAUUUGGUCAAACAUCAUGAGGAUGCAUUUUUCCCAAACAGCACACAUUACAAUUUUCCCCUUGGCUUUCUUGUCCUAGAUAUGAUCUUCUUGGUCCUGUACCGGCCUUUUAUACUUGUACCAAGAAGCGCAUAGUAAAUAGAAACCAAAGUUCAGUAUACUGACUCCUGCUAGCGACCAAUAGAAGUAGUCGAGCUUGUCUCUGUUCAAGUUGUUAUUAGCUAACCAGCCACCACUCAACUUGUUAAUUAUACUCACAAAUACUGCGCUUGUGAAGUAGCCAAAUGCCAGUGAAGACCAAGAAAUGGCCAGACCCAGUGAUUUCAUUCCUGAUGUGCUCUCAGCAUGGAAGAAAUCCAACAAACCUACCAACGUAAAUAUUUCAGCCGCUGAAAUUAUUAUAUAUUGGUAUACAAUCCAGAACACACUCAUAGGUAAUGGACUAGCUGAGUCAACCAUGCUAUGCUCAAUGGCAACUGAUUUCCUGCGACUUUCUACAACCGCAGCCACUGCCAUAGAAACUGCUGAAAGUACUAGUCCAGCACCUAUACGUUGCAGUAAUACCAACCCGUUUGGAAAUAAUUACACUCUCUCCCACUUUUCUAAUUACUUUACUCUCUCUCCCUAUUGUCAUGCCCUGUUUUUGCCAAGGUCAAACAAAACAUGACUUAUUGGAUUCUAAAGAAUUGAAAUUUUGUACAAAGUCGCCACCUAAUUUUUAAAGGAAAAUAAGGAAACCUAUUUAUUUGUUAAUACGUAUGAUUAAUGUUUUAGUCUGCGAAAACCUAUUGAAACUCUAGGUAAGGGUUCAAAUUAUCCCAAAGGGAAGGGGUUAGGCACCCUUCAGGAUCCACAAAUGUGGUACCCGACUAGACUAAACUUAUCAAUGAGGGAGGAGGUAUAAAUAUUUAAAAUAAUGUAAAAGUGUAUGCGUAUUAAGUAUAAAAUAAUUCUUUUGAAAAAAUAUCAAUGUAAAACUAUGUAAAAGUAUAUGUAUAUUAAAUAUACAAAUAAAAUCUAUUGUUAUAAAAACAUGUAAAAGAUAUGUAUAAAAAUGUAUAUUUUAUAUGUGAAAAAGAAAGUAUUUUGUGAUGUAUGAAAAGAAACAUGUAAAAGAUAUGUAUAAAAUAUAUAAAUCACAUGUGAAAAAGAAAAGUAUUUUAUGACAUAUGAAAAGAAAUGUCUUUUGAUGUUCCAUAAAAAGGAAAAGUAUUUACAAGUAAUAUUUUUAUUUGAUUAAAGUUACGGAGAAAAGUAAAGAUUUAUUUGAGAAGAAAAGACUACAUAAUAUGUGAAUUACUUGAUUAACUUAAUUCCUUUAUCUAAGUAUUAAAGGCCUAAGUUUUGUCUAAACGCGUAUUAUGUAGAUAAAGAAUACUCCCACUCAACGCCUCAAAAGGUAAAGUUUUCACUAUAUUUGAUAUGUACAAUUACAAGAAAAUAAUACAAAUAAAAGAUUCUUCUUUUGAAUGUCAUUUUUCGACAAAUAAUCUCAAAAAAUCUGUACAAACACGUUAGUAAUAAAGUAAAAUAAACUAGAAGUUAUGCGUGCAUAUGUACAUAAAAAUAUAUUUUUUAAUCAAAGUGUGGGCUCGGAUUAGAUUUUAGAUACGCCAUGAUUACGAAGUGGUUGCUCGAUUAAUCGGCCAUCCUAAAUCGUCUUGUCAAGAUGUGUAUCAUAAAACCUUUUGUGUUGUCGGUGUUAUAAAAAUUUUGUCAUUGCCCAUAUUUAUUUAUUUUUAUUACGUAUUUGUAUACGUAAUGUCCGUCUUUUAUUAGGGGAGACCUCGAAAAUCGACGGAGAAUUUCUUCAUCGACCAUUGUAUUGAUACUUGAUAUGAAUAGAUAAACUUGAGAAAAAUAAAGUCCAUCUUUGUAAUGGGGUGGCCUCAAGUAUCUGACGGAGAGAUAAUGCCAUUGUUCAUGUGUCUAUUUUUGAUAUAAAAUAAAUAACUUGAAAAGUAAAGAUCCGUCUUUUGUAUUGGGGUGGCCUCAAGUAUCCGACGGAUAGAUAAUAUCAUUGGCCAAAGUAUUUAUUUUGAGUAUAUGUAUGUGUUUUUGAGAAAAAAAAAAAGAUGAACAAAUUUUGUGUACGAUAAAAAUAUAUGUGUGGUGAAGAAUUUGUGUGUGUAGUGAAGAUGUGUGUGUUUGGGAGAGAAGAAAAAUAUGUGGGUAUGAUAAAUGUGUAUCUGUAUUUGUGAAUGUGUGUUUUAUUCGUGUAUUUUUAUGUGAGAAGAGUGAAAAAAUGUGCGUAUUAUAAUUUGGAAAAAAAGAAUCAAAUAUAUAAAAAGAAAAUUGAUUUUUUUAUAUUUUGAGAGAGGGGAGAAAGAAGAAUAAAAUGUAUAUAUGGUGACAAACAUGUGUGUCUGAGAGAAAGAAAAAAGAUGACUAAAACUUUUGUAUUUGAGAGAGAGGAGAAAGAGGUGAAAAAUAUGUGUGGAUUUUUUGAGAGAGAGGGAGAAUAAAAAUGUGCGUGAAAAUGCCUUCCCAUCACUCCUAUUUAUAAUGAAAUUGGACACCUCUUAUUGUCCAAUGGAUAAAGAGAUGUCCCCUCUUUAUAUAAUAGCACAUCCUUUGAUCCUUAGGGUAUUGACCAAAGGAUUUUCAUCUUUUUGACUAAUGGAUAAAAUUAUUGUCUAAAGGAUAGUGUCAUUGAGUGGGCAUUGUCAGAUGUGACAAGACAUUAUGUGUAGUCAUUAUCAGAUGUGACAAGACAUCAUUGUGUAGUCAUUGUCGGAUGUGACAAGACAUUAUUGCGUGGUCAUUGUCGGAUGUGAUAAUACAUCAUUGUAUAGUCAUUGUCGGAUGUGACAAGUCAUUAAAUUAUUGUAUUGUAUAAAAAUAAUUGAUCCGACUUAGCAUUUGCAGAUCAUAAAAAAUAUACAAAAUGCAGGUAUUGAUUUGUAAUUAUGAAAAAUGUAAAGAAUGUUGAAAAUAUUAAAAAAUGUAAUUUAAUAUGAAAAAUAUUAUAAAAAUGUGAUGUCAUGUCGUGUACGUGUGCAGAUAAUUGUAAAAUGUUAAAAACGAUAAUGAAUUAAUAGAAGUCCUAUUAUAAGGAGGAUUAUUAAUAAAUUAUGAAAAGUAAAAAAUACAACAACAAAUUGAUAAAAAUCCUAAAGUAAGGAUGAUUAUCAAUAAUUUGUCAAUAAUUAUAAAAGAUGUAAAAAUUAUAUUUUGUGCCCUUUAAUGACCAAGAAGCCUAAAGACAUUAAUUUUAAGAGCAAAAAUUGAGUGUCAACACCUAUUAAUAUGCAUAACAUAGCCGACAUAUACAUCGCAUUCUGUGUAUAUGUUGAAAUUUUUGUAAUAUGUUUAGGGAGUUGAGAUUUUUUAUAAUAAUGGAAACACAAGUUGUGUAUUUGUGUAAUUUUUAGUUAUUAAAAUGAUGGCCUACAUCAAAACGGCCCAGAUCUAGCCGGAUUUACAUGUUUUCUGACGUUGCUCCGGUGAAAAUCCAUUGAAGCAACGUCGUUUGUCACCAUCAUGUCGGUUUUAUCUCUAUUUUUGAUUAAUGUAGUUGGUGUUUUUUUUUUUUCUAUAUUGUUCUGCUACCAAAAUGGAUUUGGAUGGAAUUUCUCAUUCUCCGUUGAAGGUUCAUGGAUUUCGCGAGCUAUCUUUUGUGUUGUCUGUUAUGAUGUUAUUUCAUUUUUAUACUUUUUUGGCUAACUGAGUUGUUAAUUCAUUUAUUGUUGGAUUAUUUUUCUGAUUGUAUGGGUAUCUCCAUUUUUAUCGUUAGCUGCUUUAAAGUUGUUUCGUGCUGAUUUUGUCCUUCACAUCCUAUUAAAUUAAUAAUGAACAUAUUAUGCAAUUUGGCCAAUGAUAUUAUUUUUUCGUCGGAUAUUUGAGGUCACCCCAUUAUAAAAGACGGACUUUAUUUUAUAAAGUUAUUAUUUUAUAUUAAAGGCUAACAUUUAAUCGAUGAAGAAAUUUUUUCAUUGAUUUUCGAGGCCUGUGCAGAUAAAAAGACGGAUAUUACGUAUAUAAAUACAUAAUAAAAUAAAUAAAUUCGGGCGAUGACGAAAUUUUUAUAACAACGCAAAAAGUUUUAUAAUUCGUAUCUUGUUAAGACAAUUUAGGACGACUAAUAAAUUAGCAACCACUUCACAGCGAUGUCAUAUUUAAAAUUUAAUCUGAGCCCACCUUUUAAAAAUUAUAUUUUUAUACAUAUAUGCACAUAUACGUUUUUAAUUUAUUUUGAUAAUUAUUUAUUUGUUACUAACAUUUUUAUUACAAGUGUUUGUACAGGUUCUCGGAAAUACAUAUCGGAAAGGGCAUUCAGUAAAGAAGUGAAUUUUGUAUUUAUAUUUCUUUUAUAUUUUUGCAAUUGCACAAAAUAUUAAUUAUAGUGAAAUAUUUAUUUUUGGGGUGUUGGGUGAGAUAUUUUUAUUUACGCAAUCCACAUCAAGCGUUAGGCAAAUCUAGGCCGUUAGUAUAUACAUUAAAUCGAUUUAGAUAAUUAAUAAAAAUAAUUCAUAUUAUUUAUAUUAAAAACAUUAUGUAAUCUUUUUCUUUACAAAAUUUUUUUCUUUAUUCAAUCUUUCGUUUUCUUUUCAUAUACAUUCUUAUAUAUACUUUUAUUUGCAUAUCUUCACAUACUUUUAUACAUAGUUUUACUAUAAUAUUGGUAAUUAAUACAUUCGUUACAUAUAAAUUAUUUACAUCAUUUUAAUAUGCAUUUUAUAUUUGUACGUAUAUACACUGAUUUUUUUCAUCUCUUAAUAAACCUAAGUCUAACCGGGAAUCACAUUUGUGGAUUCUGAAAGGUGCCUAAUCCCUUUCAUUCGGAAUAAUUUGAACCCUUACCUAUAACCAAAAUUGGUUUCGUAGAUUAGAAUAAAGUCAUACUUGUUAAAUAAAUAAAUAGGUUUCCUAUUUUUCCUUAAAAAUUAGGUGGCGACUUUGUAUUAAAUUAAAUCUUUUAGAGUCUAUAUUGUUGUGCUCGUUUUGACCUUAGGUAAAAAUCGGGUAUGACAAUUAGGAGAAUAAUGAGAAGAAGGAAUACGUUGUGUCGUAGACCUUCUUAGUGGAGCAUUUGGUUCAUCCACAACUUCUUGAACUGGAGCAUCAUCAACAACAUCUUUGUCAUUAUCAACAUGCUGAUUUUGAACAUGAUUCUGGGUGUCACCAUGAUUAUCUAGCCCACCACCAUCAUGCACACUUGUAUGAGGAAUUUGAUCAAUACUAACCACACCAUCAGAACUUGAAGAUUUCAGUUUCUCCGCUUUAUCAAUAUCUUCAAUGGUUUGAUUCUCCAUGAAUACAAUAUCACGACUUCUUACAAGCUUCUUAUCAACUGGAUUAUAUAGCCUGUAACCAAACUCAUCAAGACCAUAACCUAUGAAGAUGCACUGCUUUGUCUUGGCAUCUAACUUUGACUUCUUAUCUUUGGGCACAUGUACAAAAGCUUUGCAACCAAAUACUCUCAAAUGGUCAUAGGAAACAUCUUUCUCAUACCAAACUUUAUUUGGUAUAUCACUUUGCAAAGCAACAGCAGGAGAUAGAUUAAUAACAUGUGAAACGGUCAAUAAAGCCUCACCCCAAAAGGAGUUCGACAACUUUGCUUCAAAAAGAAAACAUCUUACUCUUUCCUUCAAGGUCCUGUUCAUCUUUUCCGCCAAACCAUUAAGUUGAGGCAUCCUAGGAGGAGUCUUCUGGUGUCUGAUACCUUGUUGCUUGCAGUAUUCGUCAAACGGUCCAUAAUAUUCACCACCAUUAUCAGUACGAAUACACUUCAGCUUCUUCCCUAUUUGUUUUUCAAUGGAAGCCUGAAACUGCUUAAAGACACCGAACACUUGUUCUUUAGUCUUCAAGAUAUAGACCCAAAGUUUCCUUGAGCAAUCAUCAAUAAAAGUGACAAAGUAAAGUGCACCACCCGAAGUCCUUGUCUUUAGUGGACCACAUAAAUCUGAAUGCACCAGUUCAAGCAACUCUGUCUUUCUUGAAGGAGAACAAAACUUGAAAGAAACUCUAUUUUGUUUUUCAGCCAAGCAGUGCUCACAUUUUUCUAAUUUAUCACUUUUAAAAUCUGAUAGUAAUUUCUUCUUGGCCAGAACGUUAAGUCCUUUCUCACUAAUGUGGCUAAGCCUCUUGUUCCAUAAUGUCGAAGAGCUAGCACUUUCAACUGCAUUCACCAUGUUAGCACAAGUAGAAAUCGUAGUCCAGUAUAGACCACUAUGUUUGUCUCCACGAGCCACAACCAAAGAACCCUUAAUGCGUUUUCAUUUUCCACCACCAUUGGUAUUAACAUAUCCCUCAUCAUCCAGCACGCCAACAGAAAUCAAGUGUAAGCUAAUAAUGGGUGCAUAUUUUACAUUGUUUAAAACUAGUUUAGAUCUAGUAUUAGUUUCCAAAUAAAUUGUACCAAUACUAACCACUUUAGAAACAGUCUCAUUGCCCAUACUCAAGGUUCCAAAGUCACCUGGAGUAUAAGAUGAGAAAAAAUCCUUCCUUGAUAUCACAUGGGAUGCAGCACUAGAAUCCACAACCCAACUUGACUCAUCACAAGCAACAUUUAUUAGAUUUGCAUCAAGGACAAUAACAAGAUCUUCAGUGGUAAUGGUGGCGACACAAUUUUCAUUGUCGUCUUCUUUCUUUUCCUUUUUGUCUCUUUUCUCCUUCUUCAACUUUUGACAAAAUUUCUUUGUGUGCCCUUUUAACCCACAAUGAUAACACUCAAUAUCUUUAAAUUUUCCUCUGGAUUUGCUUCUAUGGUGUUCAUUACUUUGAGCACCAUGAUUCUUUCUUCUCCCCCUAGCGCCAGUCACUAAGACAUCAGACGAAUAGGAACCUUGAGACUUUUGUCUCAUCUCUUCAUUAAGAAUGCUGCUCUUAAAAAAAUCCAUAGAGAUCACGCCAUCGAGAGCAUAAUUUGAUAAAGAAGUUCUAAAUGUUUCUCACGAGUUUAGUAGGGAACCAAGUAAAAGCAAGCCUUGAGUUUCUUCAUCAAACUUAAUGCCCAUAACAAAUAAAUGGUUCAUGAUUCCCUGAAAGUUAUUCAGGUGAUCUGUCAUCAGAUAACCAUUAUGGUAUUUUAACCCCAACAUUUGUUUUAUCAAGAACGUCUUAUUAUUUUCGAUCUUUCGAGCAUACAAACUUUCAAGAUGCUCCCAUAGGGAUCGAGCAUGUGUCUCCCUAGAAAUAUGGUUCAACACAUUAUCGUCAAUCCACUUCCUGAUAAAACUGUAAACCUGUUUGUGCAACAGGUUCCACUCUUCAUCGGUUUUACUUUCAGAUUUUAUAGUGUCAAAGACCGGCUGAUAAAAAUUCUUGAUAUAGAGCAGAUCUUCCAUUUUCUCCUUUCAAAUGGCAUAAUUAAUGCCAUUUAAGGUAACCAUUCUACUUGUGUUGACUUCCAUUGUUACCAAAAAAUACAGAUAUUGCAAACUGCGGGCUCUGAUACCAGUUUGUUGGAUAAAUUCAGAAUAACAACAAAAGUAUUUGUGGUAAAAUAAUAGAAAAAUAAAUGAAAAUAAUGACACCAAGGAUUUUACAUGAAAACCCUUUUAAAUAAGGAAAAAACCACGGACUAAGAAUAGCAACUGAUAUUACUAUAGUAAGGAAUUUUUACACCAUAGUAACAAGUACAAUACUCAAACUGACUACUACACACUCAAAAUAAAUAACCCUAUUUUGACUCACACCUUACUAAAAUAUCGUUCACUCUAAUUUUUUUCUUCACAGACUAAUUUUUUUAUAACAAUCUAUGAAAUACCUCAUUGCUCUCUAAUUGUUUUUCUCUCUUGUUUUGGUGUGUUUUUGAAGUGAGCCGAAGCUCUCAAUUUAUAGGCAACAAACAACCCACGUUGAUGUCAUUGGUGACAUCAAAAUACUAUUUCCUUCUUGACUUUUCUGUAACCAAUAAAUGCAAAAUUUGACAAAAGACAUGCAGUAAUUUUUUACUAGGAAAUUUCCUGCAUUGUGAAUGAUAGGGCUGGACCCCAUAAUUAUUUCCUCUUUUGCAAAAAUUUCCGUUUGCACCCCUUUUUGCUGUCUUAUCUUUUUUUUUUUUUUUAAAAUCAACAGUGGUAUCAGAGCCUAUUGAUGUUAUGGGAUCUGUUUCUAAAGAACUUUCAUAUAAUUUUUAACCCAUAUGGGCUACCAUUUUAAUUUGUUGCUUCGCACAGGCUAUUUUUGACGAACAUUUUGAAAAAAUGGCGAGCAACCGUCUCCCUUUGAAUGCCUCAAAAAGUUUCACCGGCAAACAUUAACAUAUUUGGUCCGUGAAAAAAAUCAUAUUUUGAAAUCUAUAAUCUAUUAGGUGUUGUAAUAGAAGAACGAUGCUUAAUGAUAUCGAAUCCAUGAUAAAUAACAUACUAUAGAAUGACUAGGAAGCAUAAGAUUCAUAUGAUGAAUUGAUGAUCUGCUCUCUGGCACAUAGUAUGUGCGCAGGAGCAAACAACAUUAUUUUGUAGAAAUCCUAAACUAUGCUCAUGUCAAUCUUCCCCUUAGGGACAACAUCUUCUGGAUUCACAUCUACCUUCUUGUAUUUAUACCAAGAAGCGCAGAGUAAAUAAAAGCCAAAGUUGAGCACACUCAAUCCUGCUAGCAACCAAUAAAAGUAAUCGAGCUUGUCUUUGUUCAAGUUGUUGUUAGCUAGCCAACCACCACUUACUUUGUUCACUAUGCUCACUACUAUUGAACUUGUGUAGUAUCCAAUUGCCAGUGAAGACCAAGAAAUUGCAGUACUUAGUGCUUUCAUGCUGGAUGAACUCUCGGAAUAGAAGAAAUCCAGUAACCCCACUAAUGUGAACAUAUCGGCUAGACCAAAGAUCGCGUAUUGAUAGCCUAGCCAGAAGACACUCAUUGGCAAUGGAGUGGCGGAUUCAACCAUGUUGUGCUUAAUGGCAACUGAUUUACGGUGUUUUUCUACAACAGCAGCUACUGCCAUUGACAGAGCUGAAAGUACUAGGCCAACACCUAUACGUUGUAGCUGUCUAAUUCCCGUUGGAAUCCCUGUAAAUUUUCUUGCUAUCGGAAUGAAAACGCGAUCGUAGAUAGGGAUCAGGACAAACAUAAACAGCAGGGGAAUUGCAGGAAUUGAAGCUCCUGGAACUUCAAACUUGUGGAUUUUUCUGUCCAGUGUUGUGCUUUGUUGGAUUGUAAAAGUCUGGAGCUGAGCAAAACAAGUGUUCAUGAAGACAGUACUUAAUAUAAUUGGCAGCAUUCUGACUACAAUUUUUGUCUCUUCAACUUGUGUGACAGUACAAAGUUUCCAUGGUCCAUGUGUAUUUGAUGUGGAUGCCUCGUGAUCAGUCCUCAUUAUCGCUGCCCGGUCCAAGAACCUACAAAUAUUUCAGGGCUUUGUUACUUGGGCUAUAUCAAUUAUAACUAGAACAAAGAUGAGAGAUUGUAAAUGCGUUGUUAACAUACUUGAAUUGAUCAGUUUUUCGAAGAAUCUCAGUAUCAUAUCGAGCUUCUUUAUCAUGAAUUUCAUGUAACUCGUGUUCAUUCUCUGACAAAGGAAGAUUUCUGUUUCUAAGCACAACAACAAACACCUGCAUAAUGCGCGUAAGGGGGCUUCCAUUUGUGACAUUGUUUCUAUACAAUGAUUUUCCCAAUGUUAGGAACAGAAUUGCCAAUCCUACUACGAUACUGCAUACAGCAAAAGACCAAUCCCAUCCUUGAUUCUCACUUAUCCAAACGACAAAUGUGACACCAAAUAGGGCUCCAGUGGUGAGAAAGAAAACAAGCCAAUUGAAGUAGCUUGACAAUUUAGCAGCCUCUUUAGGGUCCUUCUCAUCGUAUUGAUCUGCUCCUAAAGGUGGUGCUGCUGCUUUGAUCCCACUGGUCCCAAUUGCAACUAGAUAAAGUCCUGCGUAUAAGAUUGCUAAUUGACCUUUAUUUGCAGACUCACAUUGAUUCACCUGGCUCAAAGGUACAUCCUUACAAGGAAAUGGUCUUAGUUGUCGAAAAUGUGCUUGCACUGCUAGAAGUGCAUACCCCUGAAUGCGAAAGCAAACACUUAAGAGUCCGUUUGACUUAGCUGACUAAAGUAACUAAUAAGUAUCAAACGGUGAACCUGAUUUUGUGAAUAAACAAUUAUAUGCUUGGAUCAGCCAAACAGAACACAAGUCUUGAAUCUAGAAAAGUAAGUGUCUGAAAGGAAGGCACCAAAUAAUGCUAGCAAAAAUGCUGUUCCCAUGAAGUUUGUAACGGCAUUAGCUGAUUUUAUGAUGCUGAAGUUCAUAUAUCCAUAAAAGUAAGUCACCAAGCUCACACCGGUUGCGAAGAAAGCCAUGACAUCAAUUCCCGCCAUAGCUGCAUGGUUAAAAGAUUAACAUAUUAUUAACACUCUCAAAGCCAGUUGUUCAUAUUACAUAGAAUUAUGCCUUUGUUUUUACCAUAUGCAAAUAAAGCUGCUCUAUUUCCCCCUAGCCUUGGUAGUUGUUUGGGUUCAGUCUUGACAUCUCUGCACAUUCCCUGCAUAAGUUCACACACAAAACUAAUUACUCAUAAAUUCCAUGCAUGGUUAUGAGAAUAUUCUCUAGGAGAGCUUACCAUUUUGAUGUUGUAGUUUUCCUUCAACAACAAAAAUGAGAAAAAAGAAAUUUAUAUUGCUAGUGGAAGUUUUUUUAUGAAUGUUUGAGUUUAUCAAAAUCUAUCAUGUUUCUUCCUUUAUAUAAUAGAAUGAAUAGAUAUAAUAUUUCACAUAGGGACAAGAAAAGAUAAAAAGGUAUCAAACUGCAUCUUCCUAUUUGAAUACUUAAAUGAGUUUUAGGAGGGUUCUUUUUGUUCCUUGUGAUUAAACCAAGGGACGAGCUACAAUAUUAGGUACAGACGAACCCGAUAGCACUUCUUAGACCAUGUGUUUGAAAUAUUUAAUUGUGAAUUCAAUAACUAAAUGAUGUAUUGGUUCGGUGACGAGUUCAAAACCCAUAUAUUUCAAAUCCUGGAUCCUAGAAACGAACGAUGUGUUAUAUUAUGACUUUAUUAUUUGACAUAAGCAUGUGCAGAUGACUUAAUGCCUAGUUGAAAACUGAGACGGCUGAAAAUUAAAUUCAAUUAUUUGGUCUCAGCUUCUGUUUGUCACGAACCACUCCAAACAUCUUAAUCACAAAGAAUAAUACUCAUUAGUGAAAACUAGGCAUCACAUUUCAACAUGUAGUUAAUCAAGCAGAUGGUUGUAAUAUUUUAGCACCGAAACAGUGAUGUUUGUGGGCUUUUCCAUCUUAUAGUUCUAGUGGUCAAUGGUAUCUUAACCUGAGCAAAGGGACAAAAAGUAUCAGAUUAACCGUGGGUCCAAAUUUGUAAAAUAAUGUUGAUAAAAUAGACUAGUUAAAAUCUUAAGCAUGUUUCUACCCCAUAUUGUAAAUCAACAACAGCAUAUUCAGUGUUAAUCCCAUAAGUAGGAAAUAUAUGAGGAGGGUAUAUAGAGUGUACACAGAUCUUAACCCUAUCUCAUGGAGUUAGAGAGACUAUUUCUAAAAGUUCCUCGGCUCAAGUGUGGCAAGUCUAACAUAAUACAUAAAAGCGGGCCCAUAUUGUUAUUCCCUCACAAUAAUUGAUUUGAAAAGGAACUCUUCAAGUCAGUGUAAGAAAAUUAUUAGGAGGUCAACGGGGUUUGAUGCUGAUUGUAACUUAGCAUUUUAACACUCACUUUAGGACAAAAAAACUAACAUUAUUAUGCUAGAGAUACAUAGGUGGCAACAUAUAUAUACAAAAAAUAACUCCGAUUUGACAUCAUUUACGCAGUAGAUUUGAGCCCAAAAAUGAAAAAAAAAAAAAAAAGAUAAAAAUAUUAAAAAAGAGAAAUUUGUUUAUAGUUAACAAUAUAUUGCCGGCUUUAAUUUGGCAUCUAUCAAAGGCAUAAACUGUUGAAUAUCCAAGAAUUAAGGUCAGCUUAAUCAGUUUUUAUUUUAACAAUAAAUAUCAAAAGUUGACCGCAGCAUAUUUACCAGAUGACACAUUAUAAGUUGAUGCGUUAAGACAGAAACGUUUUAACUAAAACUGAAAUGUCUCAGAGUUUGGUGAAAUUGAUGGAUCAAAGUCGUUUGGCUUAUUAUUGUGGAAUAAAUACUUAUAAAGAGGUAUUUAUUGAGGAAUAUGAUUAUGAUAAACAAAUAGUUGCUAGUUGAUUAAUUGCCAACUGUAAUGUUCAGUUAAAAGGAAGCUGUUGAUGUGACAAGUUUGUUAGAAAGUUUGUUAGAGAUAGUAGAUAUUUUUGUAUCUUGAUCAUAGGCGGUUAGUGGAACUAAACCAUAGUUAGUAGAGAUAGGAAUUAGUAUAUAAGCAAAAAUUGAUCAUUGCUGUGCACUAUGUACAUACACAAAAUCAUUCUUAGUUUUACUCUUCCCCAAAUACUCUAAUUUCUCUGUGUAUUAUUUGAAAUUGAAAGAUCUUUGGGAUGAAUAUGAUUCUAUAGUGCCACCUAUUGCGUGUGACUGUGAAAAAUCGAAGGAAUAUGGUGAUAGUAUGAGUAGACAGAGAUUAUUGCAAUUUCUCAUGGGGUUAAAUGAUAGUUACGGGCAAGCAAGGAGCCAAAUCCUCAUGAUGAAUCCUUCCCCCAGUGUAAACCAGUGUUAUGCAUUAAUCAUUCAAGAUGAGAGUCAGCGGGCAUUGAGUGGAGCACAAUAUUUAAUUGGUGAAAUCAGUGAUCCUACUGCUCUAUUCACAAAUAAAGCUAGCAGUAGUGGUUUGGGACUCAAGGAUUUAGAGGACAAGGACCCGGUGGACGUGGAGGUCAAUCUUAUAAGGGACAAAAAGGAGGUUUUCUAUAUUGUGAUCAAUGUGAUAUGAAGGGUCACAGUAGAGAGAAUUGCAACAAGCUGAAGUAUUGUACACACUGCCACAUGCAAGGCCACACAAAAGAGACAUGUUACCAAUUGAUAGGAUAUCCUGCAGAUUAUAAAGAAAGAAAAAGGUUAAUUUUGUUACAACACCUUCUAUUGGACCGCAGAUGCAGUACUUUGGCCCGUUGCUUGAGGGUGAAGAUAGCCAACAAAGGUCCAGUUCUCACAUGCAGUAUGCAGGUAACGGAAAUAAGCAAUAUGCUCCUUUUAUGCAGCAUGCAGGAAAUAAAAAUGGCUAUCAUCAAGGAAGCAUUAAUGGUAUGCAACAAUCAGUGUUUAGCAAUGGAGCAAUUCCACAGUGCACUCCAACUCAGAACAAUCAGAUUCUUCACAUACUACACAAGCCUGUGACAAGUGAGUCAAGUGCAAAUGUGGCAGGUAUUUUUUCUGGAACUUCUUGUUAUCAUAAUAUGGUCGAAGAUCUAGACUGGAUAAUAGAUAGUGGUGCCACAAACCAUAUGGUUAGUCAUGAACAAUUCUUACAUCAUGGAUUGACAGUUACCAAUUCAGAGAGGGUACAACUUCCUACCGGUGAUUCAGUUGUUAUUACACAAACAGGAAAAUCGCUUUUGCCAGGAGGUGAUGUAGUUGAUAAUGUGUUGUAUGUUCCAACUUUCAAAUUUAAUCUUCUUUCAGUAUCAAAACUGACUAGCAAAUUUUUUGAUUUUGUCAUUCUUCACGAUCUCUUCACUGGGAGAGUGAAAGAGAUUGGUAGAGAAGUAGAAGAAUUAUAUACUUUGAAAUCAAAACAACUAUUGGGAUCUAAGCAGAAGUCACUUGGAGAUGUGGCAACUUAUGGUGAUGCAAAGAUAUGGCAUAAGAGAUUAGGGCACAUCCCUAUGAGUGUUCUUGGAAGAAUGAACUUGUUCAAGAAUAAAAUUUAUAUUACUUUACCAAACUGUGAUGUAUGUCCUUUAGCAUGACAAGUUAGGUUACCAUUUUCGGUUAGUCAUGCUAAAAGUUCUAAAUGUUUUGAUUUGAUACAUUUAGAUGUAUGGGGACCAUACAAAGCUGCUACACAUAAUAGAAUGCAAUAUUUCCUUACAAUGGUUGAUGAUUAUUCUAGGUGGACCUGAUAUUUUUAAUCCACCUUAAGUCUGAUGUCUCUACUAUCUUAAAACAUUUCAUUAUGAUGAUUAAUUCUCAAUUUGAUCAGAAAAUCAAGGCAUUCAGGUCGAAUAAUGGUGGUGAGUUUUUCAACGCACAGUGUUAUGAGCUGUUUAAGGAUCAUGGAAUUAUUCACCAAAGUUCUUGUCCACAUACACCUCAGAAGAAUAGUGUAGUUGAAAGAAGACAUAGACAUAUUUUGGAAACAGCUAGAGCAAUAAGGUUUCAAGGUCAUAUACCAAUCAGAUUUUGGGGGAGUGUAUUCUUAGUGUUGUUCAUAUCAUUAAUAGAAUUCCUUCGACAGUAGUACUACACAACAGAUCACUUUUUGAGAUGAUGUUUAUGAGAUCACCCGACCUAUCUUACAUGAGAGUGAUCGGAUGUUUGUGCCAUGCUACCAAUCUAAACAAAUAUGAUAAAUUUGGACCAAGAGCUAUCAGAUCAGUUUUAAUAGGAUAUGGUGAUGCACAAAAGGGUUAUAGACUUUAUGAUCUUGAGAAUCAUACUUUUUUUAUUAGUAAGGAUAUGGUGUUUGAUGAAACACCGUUUCCUUUUCAAAAUUAUUCAGAUGUUGUGAGUAAAAAUCCACCAUGGGAUGUUGCUCAAUGUUUGAAAUUCUCUAUACUAUCUACUGAUUCACAUCCAGUGUAUGAUGAGAUUGCAAUAACUAGUCCACCUUCAACAGAAGAUGUUUCAGUCUCUCCUAUGGUACAGGAUCAUUCCUCUUCAUCUGCUCAUGAAAUACAUACUACACCAGUGGUUGAUAUACACAGAUCACCAUGUCUUGCUGAGACAAGAGGGUUUAACAAGACAAGUAGACUACCUAUCUGGCACAAGGAUUUUGUUACGGGAACAAAGAGCAAGUCUCGUCAGUGAUUGUAUUCAAUCACAAACAAUGUUGAUUAUUGUAAUGACCCUUACGGUCAUUUUCCUGUAUUUUUCAUAUAAUUUUAGUACUAUCUAAACAUAUCGUGGAUUCUUUAUUUUAAUUUGACAUUUGGUAGAAAUAUAAUUUAGUACCCUUCUAGAAUACUUUUGAUAUUUGUAAAAUUCUUUAAGUGAUGAUAUAUUUAUAUCACUUUAUAAUGGACUUUUAUGAUUUAUUAAUAUUUUAAGCGGAGAUAGUAAUUUUAGAAAUGUUAAAAUAUUAUUAUUACAUAAUAGAGGUUUUGUUAGAAAUAAUUUUCUAUUAAUUAUUUUAUAUUCAAAAUAUUAUAAUUCUUUUACCAAGAAUUUAUGCAAUACCCGAUUUUGUACACAAUGUAGGAAAAUUGUUAGAACCGUACACGUGGGUGAAGAAGAUUGGCAACAACUUGUUGCUGCUUAUUAGCAGGCCACCUUUUCUUAUAUAUAUAUAUAUAGUAUCAUUGGUCCUUUUUAAAGGAAAAGAAAAGUGACCAUCCACUGCUAGUACAUAUACAUGCGUUGGCUUUCUGUUUUUCCAUAUCUGAACCUUCGUUUGCUUCUUUUAAAUUGGUUGGGAUUCUUAGUGAGUCUUACAAAUUACUUAUAAGUUAAGAGGCGUCUGAAAAAUAGUUUCUUUGAUAUUAUCCAAGCUUAGAUUCUGCUAGUAUUAUUCGGAGGUUUUGCGGAAAGAUAUUAUAGCUUUGGCGUCCAGGUAGGCUAGGUUUAUCCUACUUUUAGAUUGAGCUUAUAUACCAAAAUUGUGAACUAUUAUGCUAGCUUUGAAUAAAUACUUGUAGAUGCAUAUUAUUUGANNNNNNNNNNNNNNNNNNNNNNNNNNNNNNNNNNNNNNNNNNNNNNNNNNNNNNNNNNNNNNNNNNNNNAAUUAAGAUUAAUGAAUGAUUAUUUAGACAUUUAUAUUGUUAUGAUAUGAAUUUUAAUAUUAUCGGUGGAUUAUGAUUACUAUGAGUUCCGGUUCGAGUCCGGCAAUUGACUAUUAUGAUUACUAUGAGUUCCGGUUCGAGUCCGACAAUUGACUAUUAUUAUUACUAUGAGCUCCGGUUCGAGUCCGGCAUCUGAUUAUAGUUGGGGUUACUCUGAGCUCCGGUUCGAAUCCGACAUCUGAUUAUUUAUAUUUACUUUCACCACUUGUCUGUCCCACCGGCUUAUGGGGGUACGGUUGGGUUAAUUGUUUUCUUCAGUGUGCCUAGCAAGCUUAUGGGGGCUCAGUUAGGUUAUGUUUGAUUUAUUUGUUAUUACUGCAUCAUUAUUUUUCUGUAUUGCACAAGUCUAUUCCUUUACAGCCGUUGCAUAGCGUGGUAGUUGUUUACCUUUCCAUCCCUACUUACUAAUGACUCAGAUUAUGCCCUCACAUUGUAGUUAUACCUUUUCUGUAUUAAGCUCAAUCGGCCGAUGAUGCCUACUGAAUACCCGUGGUUUUUGGUACUCAUACUACACUUCUGCAUCUUUUUCCUGAUGCAGAUCCAGGUACUAGCAAUCGGCAUUGACGCGGUUCCUACCUUUAAGUGCUGAUUUAGAGCGGGGUGAGCUUACUGUCGUCCGAGGCUGAUCCUCCUCUAUCUACUCUAGUUAGUCUUUUUCACUCGAGACUACUUGUGUACAUUUUAGAUUUUUGUCUAGUACUCUGGGUACCUGUUAGUAGUGGCUCUAGUACUGACCUUAUCAAGUCUUAGGAGGAGGGAUUCAUUUGUAUAGUUGACCCUUUUUUCCUCCUCUCGUUUUGAUAUAAUAUAUAUGCUUUCUUCUUAGUUUUCACUUAUUAUUGUGAUUGUUAUCAUCAUAUGCGAUAUUUUAUUUUGUCCCUGCCUAUUAGCCCGUUACCUAUCAUUCCGGGCUAUGAUUUGGCUUGCCUACUGGUGGGAUAAGGUAGGCGCCAUCACGACUUAAGAAAUCAGGUCGUGACAAUUAUAACAGUCUUUCUUAUUCAUACCAAUGUUACAUUGCAAAUGUAUCAAUAGAUACUGAACCACAAUCAUAUCAACAGGCCAUUACUGAUAGUGGUAGAUAGAUUCAAGCCAUGAAGGAAGAAAUUCAGGCCCUUGAAGACAACAAGACUUGAGAAAUUAGUUCAUUGCCACCCGGUAAGAAAGCAAUUAACUGUAAAUGGGUUUAUAAGAUCAAAUACAAGGCUAGUGAAGAAAUGGAGAGAUUUAAUGCAAGGUUAGUCGCCAAAGGCUACAAUCAAAAAGAGGGAUUGGACUAUCAAAAAACUCUCUCCCAUUGUUAAAAUGGUUACUGUUAGAAGUGUUUUGGCUAUGGCUGCAUCUAGGAGAUAGCAUGUUCAGCAAAUGAAUGUUUAUUAUGCCUUCUUACAAGGAGAUUUAGUUGAAGAAGCUUAUAUGACACUACCACAAAGAUUCCAUUAUGAUAAGAAAGGUGAUAAUAAGGUGUGCAGGCUGGUCAAGUCUUUGUAUGGGCUUAAACAAGCCUCAAGACAAUGGAAUGUGAAGCUCAUUAAUGCACUGGUAGCAGCAGGAUUCACACAAAGUCAUCUUGAUUAUUUAUUACUGACAAAGAAGUCUGUAGAUGGUAUUGUAGUCAUUUUGAUUAAAGAUGCCAAACAAGUACUUAAAGAUAAUUUCAAGAUUAAAGAUCUUGGUGACUUAAAAUAUUUUUUAGGCAUUGAAUUUGCCAGAAGCUCAGCAGGUAUCCGAAUGCAUCAGAGAAAAUAUGCCCCGAAACUUAUCUCUGAUUUGGGAUUAGGUGGAUCUAAACCAAUUAAUACUCUAAUUGAGAUGAACUUGAAGCUGACUACACAUGAAUUUGAUAAUUACUUUGGAGAUUCUUCUGAUUCUCUACUAAUGGAUCCUAGUGAAUACCAAAGGCUAGUUGGGAGGUUGUUGUAUCUUACCAUCACUAGACUUGAUAUUUCUUUUGCUUUUCAACAUCUGAGUCAAUUCAUUCAUGCUCCAAAGACAUCUCACAUAACUGCCGCCAUCAGGGUGGUCAAAUAUGUGAAGCAGGCACCAGGCCUUGGUAUUUGUAUGAGUGGUCAGUCACAUGAUUCUCUUCAGGCUUAUUGCGAUGCAGACUGGGUUCAUGUCUUAAAUCCAGAAGGUCUAUUACAGGUUACAUGAUUAAGUUUGGUAACUCUUUGAUUUCCUGGAAGCCGAAGAAACAAUCUACUAUUUCCAGAAGUUCAGCAGAGGCGGAGUACCGAAGCCUUGCCUUGACUAUUGCUGAAAUUAUAUGGAUCGCUGGUUUAUUCAAGGAAUUAGACAGGUCCUUGUCUCUUCCUGUUCCCUUGUUUUGUGAUACCAAGGCAACUGUUCUAAUUGCUGCUAACCCGGUGUUCCAUGAACGUACUAAGCAUAUAGACAUUGACUGUCACUUUAUAAGGAAGAAGGUCCAAGAUGAUCUGGUCCUUAUUCAGUAUCUAUCCACAAAAGAGCAGUUUGCAGACAUCUUGACAAAGGGUCUUGGUUGUGUGCAACAUUCUUAUCUUCUUUCCAAGCUAGGCUUGCAGAAUAUCUUCAUACCACCUUGCUUGAAGGGGGUAUUGAGGAAUAUGAUUACGAUAAACAAAUAGUUGCUAGUUGAUUAAUUGUCAGCUGUAAUGUACAGUUAAAAGGAAGCUGCUGAUGCGGCAAGUUUGUUAGAAAGUUUGUUAGUAGAUAUUUUUGUAUCCUGAUCAUAGGCGGCUAGUGGAACUAAAACAUAGUUAGUAGAGAUAGGAAUUAGUAUAUAAGCAGAAAUUGAUCAUUGUUGUGCACUAUGUACACAAAACAUCGUUCUCAGUUUCACUCUUCCCCAAAUACUCUGAUUUCUCUUUCUCUUCUGUAUGAAUUGGCUAGUCAGCGAACUCACAUGAAGUUCUCGAUCACAAAUUAACAGUAUUUACACCAAACAGAUUCAAUUUGAUAUGGCCAAGUGAUUUAAUAAAGUGAAAAUAGUCAUUAAUAAACCAUGACUAAGUGAAAUAUAUGUACAAACAUUAAUUUGGUUUAAGCACUUGGUGCAGGUACGUCUUUACCAAGUAGUUAUCUCCAGCCGCUGUUGUUGUCAACUUCUACAAUCACUACACAAGUUUAGAUAGAAAUACCAGGGUGGAAAUAAGAAUUGAUUAACAUGGAUAUCGUGAUAGGUCUAGCUUGUACUUAUUGAAAGCAUGGCUAGAUAUGGGUGAUUGUAGAUCGGCUUACAAAGUCAGUUUACUUCCUACUGGUCAAGACAGCAGACACAGAAGCUCAGCAUGCAAAGGUUGUAUCUGUCUUUGUCUUGUGUGUGUACGUCGCAAUUGAUGAAGUGUGACCUUGAGGCUUGAGUUGUCCAAAAGAAAGGAGUGAGUUAUCUUGCAUGUACGUUUUUUCCUAAUGCACAAACUGCUUUAAUUUAUGUUACUCGGACUAUUUAAAAUGUCAACUGAUCAUGCAUAUCUGAUUCUUCAAAAAUAGUACUACCUCCGUCCUAUUUUAUGUGUAGCCAUUUGAUUGGGCGCAGAGUUUAAAAAAUAAGUGAUGACUUUGUAAAGUUUAUAAAAUUAUCCCUCUUAAAGUUAUUUUAAUGUUUACUUUUUAGUGUCUUUUCUUAAUAAGUGGGAUCCACUAAGGAUGAAAUGGUAAUGAUGUCAUUAAAUAAUAAUUACCAAAUAAGAAAAGAUGACAUUCUUUUUAGGACGGACCAAAAAAAAAAUGGCGACACAUAAAAUGGUUUUAGAGAAUUCGACACUGAAGUGGUAUCAGAAGUAGAGAGUCUUUGCAACUUAGGCUUUAAUUGACAAAAUCUGUUAAAAACCUAGACUCAUUGAGAAGCACAUUCCUGUCAAAAAAAGUAAAGGUGGCUUUUGAUUUGAAGUUCCCAAGAUUCUGAAGGAGCUUGGUCUUAUACUACAAUAUUAAGUUAAUUAAGUGCUGCAAUUAAAUUGUUUGGUUUGAUGUGAACAUCGGGUGCGAGUGAGACGACAUAAUAUGUUCCUCUCAUGUUAUUAUGAAUUUUACUGAUUACUAACGAUUAAUUACUAUGAACUUCUUAAUCAGGAUAUAGGUCCAUCCUUUUUAAAUAGACGUGCUAAAAGGUAGACCAAAUUAGAAUUUAACAACUUAACAUCUUAGGCUUUGUAUAAAAUCAUUGCUAAGUUUCCAUGUUUCAAUCCUUUAUAUGUUGGUUAUUACUAAUUUUAUAUGUGUGCUAUCAUCUAAAAGCUUGAAGUGAGAAAUAACUUCAAUCAGAUUCAGAGAUGAAAAAUCUUCCUAAGUUACGUAAAAGCAUGUACCAAAUGUCCAACUUUAGGUACAAAAAUUGUAUACAACCUCAUAAAUACAUUCUCCCAAGUAAAGUAAAAUUACUUCUAAACUUGGGCUACAAGAAACUACAAAUCAUAUUUAACGUCCAAUAUUCAUCAAAAAUAUAUAUAUAUAUAUAUAUAUAUAUAUUAUUCACAUCAAUUUCUUCCUAGAUUUUCAACUUGCUAUAAAUCAGCAAAAGAAGCAAUUAGAGACAACAAUAAGUAAAAUCUAUAGUUUUUGUUUUUGAAUUUGUUUACCUUUUCUUUUUGAUUUUGAGCAUCGAAUUUUAUGUUGCUUUUUCUUUUUAUUUUAUUUUUCCAGUUAUAAUUCCUCCGUAUGCUCUUGACGUUUAUGAAAUUAAUCCCUAUAUGUCUUAUGGUGCUUUCUUGGAAAAAAUUUUGCGUUUUGAUUUUGUAAGUAUUUGAUAUCUAAUCAGAUUUAUGUGUGUGUGUGUUUUGUGGUAUUUUUUGUGUUUCAUAAUUGACCAACUUUUUAUUUUAUGGGUACCUUAAAUUGGACCAAAUCUAUAUCUCUUUUUUUGAGUUUUUGUGUAUAAAUUUAUGGGCCCAUGAAUUUAAUCAUAUCUAUUUUUUUAAAGUAAAAAUAACAUAAAUCUCAACCUUAUUAGAAUUAUUUACACUCUCUCCCAACUCCUUAAUUACUUUACUCUCUCUCGCGAUUCAUAUACAUAACAAGGUCGAAUCAUAUGCAUAACAAGGUCGAUUCAUAUACAUAACAAGUAUGACAAGGCCGACAUAUACAUAACAGGGCCGACAUAUACAUAGAAAGCUAUGUAUAUGCAUUUUUAGAGAAAAAUAAAAUUUUUGUUAUAUAUUUGGAGAGAUGAGAUUUUUUGUAAUAAGUGAAACUAAGUUGUGGGUUUGUGUAAUUUUUAGUUUUUUAAAAUGUUCGUUCGGGUUUCAAGGAAUUUUCAUAUAAAGGUUAGGUUAGUGUUAUUAUUUUUAUAUCUUGACUAUCAGUGGCGGAGCUAGGAUUUUCACUAAAGGGUUCACAAGUGAACAUACUAACCGAAGGGGGUUCAACAUUGACUGUAUAUAUAUAAAAAAUGAUUUUAACCAUGUAAAUAUAGUAUAAUAUUUCGCCGAAGGGGUUCGGAUGAACCCUUAUAUAAAGGGUAGCUCCGCCCUUGUUGACUACCGUAUUGUUUUGUUAUAAUUUUUGUUCUGUUGCUAUCUGCUAUCUUUUAGAGACGAAUGUUCGAUAAGUCAAAGGUCAGAGGUUUUUGGUUUUAAUCCUCUGAAGUCUAUUAGUAGACGCAUUUAUUUGUACUUCUCUAUUGAUAACAUAUAUAUCACGCUCUUCUUUAAGUAUAUUUUUUUAUCUUAAAAGUUUUGCAAAGUCUCAUUUUUUUUCUUGCAGUGUUUGUUGUCUGAUAUACUACGCGCGCCCACUAGACUAGUAGUAUAUAAAAACUGGCAAAGCAUGCAACUUUGUGAUCAUUCUACUCAGUUAGCCUUCUUCUCCCCCUCCUCUUCCUCUCGUUCGCGUGCAAGUAUGGAUCUCCAGGAGUCAAUCACCAACCAGACUGACGUUACUUUCAUGCUCACUAAGCACGUUUUCUCAGAAGAGGUUGAAGGCAAUUCUAACAUGGUGCUCUCUCCUCUCUCAAUUCAAAUAGUUCUUGGCCUCAUUGCUGCCGGCUCUAGCGGACCUACUAAGGACCAACUGCUCCAUUUCCUAAAGUCCAAAUCUAUCGAUGAACUCAACUCUCUUUAUUCGCAUAUUCUCAACACCGUCUUUGUUGAUGGCAGUCCCAAUGGAGGGCCGCGUCUGUCUGUUGCUAAUGGCAUUUGGAUAGAACAAACGCUGCCUUUCAACCUUGAUUUCAAGCAAGUUGUGGAUAAUGUUUACAAGGCUACUUCAGAGUCUGGAUUUCAUGAACAAGGUCAGGCCUUUAUUUGUUGAAAUUUUGUUUCUUUGAUGUUGACUGAAAACAGUUGGUUUUCGAACUAUCAUAACCCCUAAAUAAUACAAACGAGUGCAAUUAAUAUGAGAUUGAAACGCAGUUUAUUGAACGAUUGAUUGCUUUAUCAAUCCGAGUCUAAAACAGUGGAGAGUGUCAAACAAUUCGGACAGAGGUCAUAUUUACUUAGCCCUGUAAUGAUUGUAGCAUCAACUACAUAAAAUUAUAAAAUGUCAAUGUUCGAAACUGUUCAUAUUAGCAUUAGUGCAGUUGAAAGAAUGAAAGAAAUUUAUCUGAUAAAUGAGCAGGAUCGAGAGGAAAAAAGUACUACGUAUGCCCUAUCUUCUAUGUAGUGUCAUCAAAUUUGGAGUGAAAUGUCCGUUUGUUAGUUAUAUAUAAAAAAUAAACUAUUUGUCUGAAGCAAUUCAUAUGUAUCUAAUUUUAUCAUUCCAUUUUUGUUUAUGCCAAUUUGAUAAAGGCGGAUGAGGUUGCCGGUCAAGUCAAUCAAUGGGCUAAAACGAAGACAAAUGAUCUCAUCAAAGAGAUUCUUCCUUGUGGCUCAGUGAACAACACGACAAGGAUGAUCUUGGCCAAUGCACUAUAUUUUAAAGGAGAAUGGGAUGAGAAGUUUGAAGCUUUUAAUACGAAACACCACAAGUUUCAUUUCCUCAAUGGAGGGUCUACUUGAGCACCAUUCAUGACUAGUAAGAAGAAGCAAUACAUUAGUGUCUUCAAGGGCUUUAAAGUGUUGAAGCUUUUCUAUAAAAUGGGCACCAACAACAACAUACCCAGUAUAUUCUUACAAAGUGGGGACACACGUAAGUUCUGCAUGUAUUUUAUUCUCCCCGAUGCACAUGACGGAUUACCUGCUUUACUUGACAAAAUCACCUCAGAACCUGGAUUCUUAAAUCGCCACAUUCCGUCUAGACAAGUAGAAGUGGGAAAGCUUCUUAUCCCAAACUUCAAAACAACUUUCGGGUUUGAAGCUCCUGAGGUUCUAAAGGGACUUGGCCUCACAUUGCCUUUCUUUCCUGGUGGUCUCGAUAAGAUGGUGGAUUCCGCUGAAGCUAAGGCACUGUUUGUCUCGAAUAUGUUUCACAAGUCCUUCAUUGAGGUAAAUGGAGGAGGAACUGAAGCUGCAGCUGCUACUGCUGCUGUUAUAAAGGUAUCCCGUAAGUUUGAGGCGCCACCAGAUUUUGUUGCGGACCAUCCGUUCCUAUUCCUUAUAAGAGACGAAUCUACUGGAGUGGUGUUGUUCACCGGCAGUGUGCUGAAUCCUCGUGCUGAUUAGCCUACAUAUAGCAAGAAAGAACGAUUGUGUUUAGUGUAUUUUGACCUGAUAUAGUAUUCAAGAGUCACUUAAGAGUUUUGAUUAGUUUUAUUUAGCUUUUUCUUUUUCUUGGAACAACUUGGGUUCCAAACUCAGAUUCAUUGGCCGAUCUUUGAGUUAAUUCCUCAAAUCACUCAACUAAUAGUUAUUAUAUCAAAAAGUCACUCUUCUACUUGAUUCUUUCUUGAACAAAGAAAAUGACUUUCUCUCUUCUACUUGGUUCUUUCUUGAACAAACAAAGAGACUUUCUAAGAUAAUAACUAUUAGUUAAGUAGCCAUCUGAAAAAAUCAACCUGUCGAUCUCUUUGUUGAUUAGAAAAUAAAAUUGCAAGUAGGAGAUGAACGUGUGACUCUAACUAUAUAGAGGACAUGUGUCACUUAUUUUACAUCAGAGAUUAGGUGUGUGAAUAUUAGUGGUAGAUUCAACAAUGGAAGGUUUCCUCCCUUUUACAACAUUAAAAAAUUUAAAUGACUAAAUCUUAGAGCUUUAACAACUUAUAUUAUACCAGAUGGACGAAAAAUAAAAAAGAAAAAAAGUAUUUGCUUAAUUUUCAAGCUACUUGCUUAGUGAUCCCUUCUCUUAUCCAAUAAAUAAAUAACAAUAUCUUGACUCUAGUUAGCUUGUUCGAGUGAGUCUUACCUGUGUAUGUUCACUUCGUACUUGUGUGAACGCAAUUUCGGUUUUAUGGAAUUGAUUCAAAUACGAAAUCCUACAUGUUAAGUAACAGCUACGCCCUCUGUUUCAAUUUGUUUGUGUUACUUUUUUUUUGUUCGCUUAAUAAAGAAUGUCUCUUUCCUUUUUAGCAACUCUUCAAUUCUAAUUUUGCACGUGACAUGUUUAAGACCAUAGAAUUAAAAAACAUUUUGAUAGAUUCUACAUAUCUUUAGUUUAUGACCACAUCAAAAUCAGACAAAUAAAUUGAAAGGGGUUAGUAUUUUGUAUAUAAAUUCUUCCAAAGCUUUCACCUUUGAUAUGUGUGGUGACAUAAACCUGUCAUGGGACUCAUUCACUCUCGUUCUCACUCUCAUUCUUGCUCGUCUAAUUCUUCCCAUGAUCAAACUACUGAUAUGGAAAUGAAUGAAUCGAUCAUCACCCAGACGGAUGUUUCUUUCAUGCUUGCUAAGCAUGUCUUUUCGAACGAGAUUAAAGGCGAUACCAACCUCGUGUUCUCUCCUCCCUCAAUUCAAAUAGUACUAGGCCUGAUUGCUGCCGGCGCAAAGGGACCAACUAGGGACCAGCUUCUCUGUUUCCUCAAGUCCAAAUCUAUCGAUGAACUCAACUCUCUUUAUUCUCAUCUUGUCAAUAUCGUCUUUGUUGAUGGCAGCCCCAAUGGAGGUCCGCGUUUAUCUGUUGCUAAUGGUGUUUGGAUCGACCAAACACUCCCUCUUAAGCCGUCUUUUAAAAAGGUUGUUGAUAAAGUUUACAAGGCUGCUUCAAAUUCUGUUGACUUUCAGAACAAGGUAAGCCUUUUUUGGUUCAUUCAUCAAAAUCUCGCUUCUUUUGUGCUGGGAUUCAUCAUAAAAUUGAUAUGGAUUAUAUAUAUACUAAACUGCGGCCAACUUGGAUUAAAGUAUAGCUGAUUGAUUGACAAAUCUGACUUUAAAAUAGUGAAAAAAUGCUGAACAAUUAGGACAGAGACCGUAAUAUUUCGCCUUUUUGAUUGUUCACUAUUUAGGCCUAAAUAAUCUAUUUUUUUGCUGCGAAUCCCCCUUUUUGCCUAAAGCAUAAGCUAAUUUUGUUGUAAAAUCUGUUUGUCUUGCUAAUUGAAUAAGGCUACUGAGGUCACCAAUCAAGUCAAUCAGUGGGCUAAAAUGAAGACAAAUGAUCUCAUCAAAGAGAUUCUUCCUCAUGGCACAGUAAACAAUAUGACGAGGCUUAUCUUUGCGAACGCGCUAUAUUUUAAAGGGCUAUGGAAUGACAAGUUCAAUGCUUCAGAAACAGAAGACCAUAAAUUCCAUCUCCUUAGAGGAGGGUCUGUUAAAGCACCUUUCAUGACCAGCAAUAAGAAGCAGUAUGCAGUUACCUUUGAUGGCUUUAAAGUAUUGGGACUUCCUUAUAAACAUGGCAGAGAUACGCGUCGUUUCUGCAUGUAUCUAAUUUUGCCAGAUGCCCGUGAUGGAUUACCAGCUUUAAUCGACAAAAUCAGUUCAGAACCAGGAUUUUUAAACCACCACCUUCCGUGUGUAAAGGUUAAAAUGAUCAAGUUACUUAUCCCUAAGUUCAAAACAACUUUCAGUUUUGAAGCAUCUAAGGUUCUUAAGGGACUUGGUGUCACGUCGCCUUUCUGUGGUGGUGGCCUCACUGAGAUGGUGGAUUCCCCUUUAGCUGGGAGGUUGUUUGUUUCGCAGAUAUUUCACAAGUCCUUCAUUGAGGUAAACGAGGAAGGGACCGAAGCUGCAGCUGUUACAGCUGGUGUAGUAAUGACCAAGUCCUUGAAAUUUGAGAAGGAAAUCGACUUUGUUGCUGAUCAUCCAUUCCUGUUCCUUAUUAGAGACGAUGCUACAGGUGUUGUGUUGUUCAUAGGGAGCGUGCUGAAUCCUGUAGCUGGGUAAUUUGCCCAUAUUGCAUGAAUUAUAUAAGGCUUUGGAAAGAAGUACAGUUCUAUAAUGGACAAAGAGAUGUGUUAUGUAUCCAAAUAACCUUGUUCCUAGUUUAUCUGUUUGAUGAGACCUUGUACUUUCUCUUUGGCACCUUAUAUGUGCUUUUAAUGUGUUUGUGCAUUUCGAUAUGAUAAUAGAGUUUUUAGAGUACUUAGAGUUUACUCUAGAUUUGAUUAAUUGAUAUUUAGUUCUAGGCCUUUGAAAAUAUUUAUAAAAAAUAAGUAAUUAAUAUGGAAAAGGAACAAAUGUACCCGAACUAUGAAAUGUAUCCCGAACUAUGAUAAUUGGUACAUAUGUACCCUUCGUCAUACUUUGAAUAUACAUAUUCUCCUACUGUUAAUGAAAUGGUACGUAUAUGCCCUUCACCCUAACGGAAGGACAUGUAUCGCAAUCUUAAGCAUUUAAUCCAAACACACUACCCAACUCAAUAUUCCUCCACCUCCAUUAACAUAACAAGAAAGGAUGAUUUUAUUUAGAGUAUUUUGAUCUGAUAUAGUAUUCAAGAGUGACUUGAGAGUUUUGAUUAAUUUUAUUUAGUUUUUCUUUUCUAGUUUUUUCUUUUUUCCUGGAACGAGUUGGGUUUCAAACUCAGAUUCAUAGGUCAACCUUUGAGUUAAUUUCUCAGAUCAACUCAACUAAUAACCAUCUGAAAAAUCAACUUGUCGAUCUCUUUGUUGAUUAGAAAAUAAAAUUACAAAUAGGAGGCGAACGUGUGACGCUAACUAUAUAAAGGGAGGAUAUGUCUUUUAUUUUACAUCAGAGAUUAUACCAGAUGGACGAUAAACAAAAAAGAAUAAGAAGCAUUUGCUUAAUUUUCAAGCUACGUGCUUACUGAUCCAUCUCUUAUCCAAUAAAUAAAUAACAAAAUGCUGACUCUACUUAGCUUGUUUAGAGUGUCUUACGUGUGCUCACUUCCUUCUUGUGUAAACGCAAUCUUCUGAGAAUCAAGUUUGAUGGUCAGUCAUUUUCUUUAUUCGCCAUUUGUUGGUUUUAUGGAAUUGAUUCAAGUAAGAAAUCCUAUAUGUUAAGUAACAGUUAUUUUGUAUAUAAAUCCUUCCAAAGCUUUCACCUUUGAUAUCAUGGUGGUGCAACAAAACUCAUCAUGGGACUCACUCACUCUCACUCUCACUCUCAUUGUCAAAAAAUGAGUGAGUCAAUCACUACCCAGACGGACGUUUCUUUCAUGCUUGCUAAGCAUGUCUUUUCCAAUGAGAUUAAAGAUGAUACCAACCUCGUGUUCUCUCCUCUCUCAAUUCAAAUAGUACUAGGCCUGAUUGCUGCAGGCUCAAUGGGGCCAACUAAGGACCAGCUGCUCUGUUUCCUCAAGGCCAAAUCUAUCGAUGAACUCAACUCUCUUUAUUCUCAUCUUGUCAAUAUCAUCUUUGUUGAUGGCAGCCCCAAUGGAGGUCCGCGUUUGUCUAUUGCUAAUGGCGUUUGGAUCGACCAAACAUUCCCUCUUAAGCCGUCUUUUAAAAAGGUUGUUGAUAAAGUGUACAAGGCUACUUCAAAUUGUAUUGAUUUUCAGAACAAGGUAUUAGUCUUUUUGAUUUGUUUCAUCGAAAUCUUGCUUCUUUUUUGCUGGGAUUUAACUUACCCUAAAUACUACUCACAUCAUAAAAAGGAUACAGAUGUUACAGAUACUAAACUGCAGCUAACUCGGACUGAGGUGUACAGCUGAUUGAUCAACAAAUCUGACUUUAAAAUAGUGAAAAAUGAUAAACAAUUAGGACACAGGCCGUAUCAUUUAGCCUUUUGAUGAUUCACUAUUCAGGCCUAAAACGAAGCCUAAAAUAAUCUCUUUUUUUUUUUUUCCCGUGAAUUCCCCUUUGUUGGCUAAAGCAUAUGUUAAUUCUGUUGUAAAUUUGUUCGUCUUGCUUAUUGAUAAGGCUACUGAGGUCCCCAAUCAAGUCAAUCAGUGGGCUAAAAUGAAGACAAAUGAUCUCAUCAAAGAGAUUCUUCCUCAUGGCACAGUAAACAAUAUGACAAGGCUCAUCUUUGCGAACGCUCUAUAUUUUAAAGGAGCGUGGAAUGACAAGUUCAAUGCUUCGGAUAUGAAAGACCAUAAAUUCCACCUCCUCAGAGGAGGGUCUAUUAAAGCACCUUUCAUGACCAGCAAUAAGAAGCAAUAUGCAGUAGCCUUUGAUGGCUUUAAAGUGUUGGGACUUCAUUAUAAACAAGGCAGAGAUGCGCGAUGUUUCUGUAUGUAUAUCAUUUUGCCAGAUGCCCGUGAUGGAUUACCAGCUUUAAUAGACAAAAUCAGUUCAUCACCGGGAUUUUUAAACCACCACCUUCCGUGUGUAAAGGUUAAAAUGAGCAAGUUACUUAUCCCUAAGUUCAAAACAACUUUCAGUUUUGAAGCAUCUACGGUUCUUAAGGGACUUGGUGUCACGUCGCCUUUCUGUGGUGGUGGCCUUACUGAGAUGGUGGAUUCCCCUUUAGCUGGGAGGCUGUUUAUUUCACAGAUAUUUCACCAAUCUUUCAUUGAGGUAAACGAGGAAGGAACUGAAGCUGCAGCUGUUACAGCUAGUGUAAUUGAGCCUAGGUCAAUUGAGGAGGAAAUCGACUUUGUUGCUGACCAUCCAUUCCUGUUCCUUAUAAGAGAUGAUUCUACUGGUGUCGUGUUGUUCAUAGGGAGCGUGUUGAAUCCUCUAACUAGUUAAUUUAGUGCAUUUUGCAUGAACUGUAUAAAGGUUUGUAAAGAAGGAUAGUUCUAUAAUGGAAAAAUUUAAGAGAGGUGUUAUGUAUCUAAAUAUCCAGUGUAUCUGUUUAAUGAGAGGUAUUAUGUAUCUAAAUGACCAGUUUCAUGAUGUGUGUACUAUUUUGACGAGAUCUUAAUUAGUUGUGCUUUAUUUUCGACAUCUUAUAUAAUCUAUUCUAGAACAUCCAUAGAAGGCUCUUGAGAUUGGUAAUUAACUUUGGAUAAAUGAAGAAAAGUAGAUAAAGGGUCUUUACUAAGUUUGCAAUUUUUUCUUUUUGCGAGUGCUAGCAAUUUAGAAAUCGAAUAAAUUAUUGUGAAAUUUGUGUUCUUAAUCCAAAAUUUUUUAAACCAUCUUUUUGAGUUCGAAGUUUUCAAUAUUCUGAAGAUGACAUGUCAUUUCACAGGAAUCUUAGCAGCUUAGUUGGGAUGCUACUUUCAAGAGAUUAUACACAGCAUUAGAUAGUAAAGGUGGGAAUAAAAAGAUGUACAGGCUAGCCAAGGUUAGGGAGAAGAGGACUCGGGAUCUAGAUCAAGUGAACCAUAUUAAGGAUGUGGAUGACAAAGUUUUGGUGGAGGAGGUCGUACUAGAAAGAGAUGUCAGUCUUAAUUCCAUAAGUUCCUGAACGAAGGAAGGGAUACUAGCAUUGUGUUGGGGAUUUGGAGCAUUUCAAGAGGUUUCACGAUAACGGUUAUUGUAGGCUUAUUAAGGUUGAAAAGGUUAAGAAGUUAUUCGUAGGAUGCGCAGAGGUAGAGCGACAGGGCCAGAUGGGAUUCGGGUAAAUUUUUAAAAGUGCACAAAAGGGGCAGGUAUGGAGUGGUUGACUCGGUUGUUUAACAUAAUUUUCAAGACGACAAGAAUGCCUGAAGCUUGGAGGUGGAAUACGAUGAUUUUAUCGUAUAAGAAUAAGGGUGACAUUUAGGAUUGCAACAAUUAUAGGGGUAUCAAAUUGUUGAGACAUACUAUGAAGGUUUAGGAGAUAGUGGUGGAGUUGAGGUUGUGGAAGAUUGUUACUGUUUCUGAAAAUCAGUUUGGAUUUAUGUCAGGACGUUCAACUACUGAAGCCAUCCAUCUCGUUGGGAGACUAGUGAAGCAGUAUACGGAAAGGAAGAAGGAUUUGCACAUUGUGUUUAUAGAUUUAGAGAAGGCCUAUGAUAGAGUUCCUAGAGAGUUCUUUGGAGGUGUUUGGAGGCUAGAGAUAUACCUAUGGUGUAUGUUAGGGCGAUAAGGGAUUUGUACGACAAAACCAAGAUUCGGGUUAGGACUGGGGGAGGGGACUCAGAGCACUUUUCCUUCUUAAUGGGGUUAUACCAAGGGUCGACUCUUAGGCAGUUUCUUUUUGCCUUGUUGAUAGAUGUUUUGACGCGGCAAAUUCAAGAUGAGGUGCCUUACUAUUUUCUUUUCGCGGAUGAUGUGGUCUUGAUUGAUGAGACACGUAGUGGAGUUAAUACUAAGUUUGAAUUUUGGAGGCAAACCUUUGAGUCUAAAGGGUUUAGGUUGAGUAGGUCCAAGAAAGAAUAUUUAGAGUGUAAGUUUAACGAGGUGUCUCAUAAGUCUGAUGUGAUUUUUAAGCUUGAUACUCAUUCUAUCAAUAAGAGAGAUAGGUUCAAGUAUCUUGGGUCUAUGAUUCAGAAGAAUGGAGAGAUUGAUGAAGAUGUCACUCAUCAAAUUGGGGUAGGGCAGAUGAAAUGGAGGCUCGCCCCCGGAAUCAUGUGUGACAAAAAGGUACCUCCUAAACAUAAAAAGCAAGUUCUAUAGAGUGGUGGUUAGACCGGCUCUGUUAUAUGGAGUGGAGUGUUGGCCUGUUAAAUAGGCCCACAUACAAAAAUAAAGGUGGCGGAGAUGAGAAUGCUUCGGUGGAUGUGUGGAUGUACUAGAAAAAAUAGGAUUAGAAAUUAGGUUAUUCGAGAUAAGAUGAAAUGGCUUCAGUGGAAGCCAACAUGAGGGAAAUGAGGUUGAAAUGGUUUAUUCAUGUGAUGAGGAGGGACACAGAUGCUCCAGUAUGUAGGUGUGAAGCAUUGGCUAGGGAUAGUUUCAAGCGAGGUUGUAACACCCCGCAUUUCGGGCUAGAAUAAAAACCAUGACUCUGAUGCGUUGAUAAUCCCAGAGCCUUAAAUCCUAUGCCAAUUUGGCAUGCUUAUGUAGUAUGUGAAUCCAUUUGAGCAUGAAUUUAGACCAUAGAGGUCCUUCAACUCAAGGACGAGUUGAAACUAUUUCUAUUGAUUAAAUUUUAGUGGAUGUUGUAAUUUGUGUCAGCUCCCAUCGACCAUAACUCUCUAUACAUGUCGAAUUAGAGAGCCUACUAUGUGUCAAAUGAUAGGUAUUCGAGUUAACUUUUCAACAAUACCAUUUUUACUAAAAUCCGACACCCGAGCAAAAAGUUAUGGCCUUUCAAAGUAGUAUGUGUCGCCUAACCAAUCGCACAUGGCCACAGGAAAGCAUAUGCGAUAGCAUAUGCGGCGCCUAUGUAAAUAUAGGCGAUAUCAUAUGCGGCACCUAUGUAAAUAUAGGCGAUAUCAUAUGCGGCUCCUAUGUAAAUAUAUGCAAUAUCAUAUGCGGUGCAUAUCCUAUGGUUUCAAGUGACUUUAACACUCUGUUUUUGGGGCAAAAUGGUCCUUUUCCCACCCUUAUUCAGUCAUAAACACAAAAUUCAGUCCCCAAUUCUCCAAAAUACAUCCACAUUCAUUGAAAAAUUCUCAAGAACACUCCCAAGGAUUUCAAACUAAAAACCCAAAUAAAUCAAGACUCAACCGUGGGUUUUCAAAAUUGAUUAGAGAUUCGGAAUCUCCAAUCCACAGGCUUCAAGAAGCACCCAUUAUUUUCUAAAAUAGAGGUAUGUGGGGUUUUCCUAAAUUCUCAUAGGCAUAGAAAAAUCAUGUUUUAAAAUGGGGGUUUUUUAAUCUAUCUAUAUAUUUAUGUAUUAAAUGUUUUAACAUCAUUGUUUUGGUCUUUUGACCUUNNNNNNNNNNNNNNNNNNNNNNNNNNNNNNNNNNNNNNNNNNNNNNNNNNNNNNNNNNNNNNNNNNNNNNNNNNNNNNNNNNNNNNNNNNNNNNNNNNNNNNNNNNNNNNNNNNNNNNNNNNNNNNNNNNNNNNNNNNNNNNNNNNNNNNNNNNNNNNNNNNNNNNNNNNNNNNNNNNNNNNNNNNNNNNNNNNNNNNNNNNNNNNNNNNNNNNNNNNNNNNNNNNNNNNNNNNNNNNNNNNNNNNNNNNNNNNNNNNNNNNNNNNNNNNNNNNNNNNNNNNNNNNNNNNNNNNNNNNNNNNNNNNNNNNNNNNNNNNNNNNNNNNNNNNNNNNNNNNNNNNNNNNNNNNNNNNNNNNNNNNNNNNNNNNNNNNNNNNNNNNNNNNNNNNNNNNNNNNNNNNNNNNNNNNNNNNNNNNNNNNNNNNNNNNNNNNNNNNNNNNNNNNNNNNNNNNNNNNNNNNNNNNNNNNNNNNNNNNNNNNNNNNNNNNNNNNNNNNNNNNNNNNNNNNNNNNNNNNNNNNNNNNNNNNNNNNNNNNNNNNNNNNNNNNNNNNNNNNNNNNNNNNNNNNNNNNNNNNNNNNNNNNNNNNNNNNNNNNNNNNNNNNNNNNNNNNNNNNNNNNNNNNNNNNNNNNNNNNNNNNNNNNNNNNNNNNNNNNNNNNNNNNNNNNNNNNNNNNNNNNNNNNNNNNNNNNNNNNNNNNNNNNNNNNNNNNNNNNNNNNNNNNNNNNNNNNNNNNNNNNNNNNNNNNNNNNNNNNACAUUUGCUCUCACGUAUUAUAUAUAUAUAUAUAUAUGUUCAAUUACUCUAUUUUGGAUUGCUUCGCAUGCCAGUACAAUUGUGCUGACCCCCCCUUCUUUCCAGGUACUGAGGCACAGUCUAGGGGUCCAGAUCCUCGGUAGAGUCUACAGACAGGGUUGUCUCAGAGUUCAGUUGGUGAUCCUUCUUUGCUUCAGAAGGCCUAGUCAUUAAGGUAUUUAUUUUAGUAUAGUUUUUGGUCUGCUGGGGGCCUUGUCCCAGUUAUUCAGAUAGUAUGUCAGUAGAGAUUUCGCAGACAGUUACAGAUGUUUAUUAAAUAUUGUUGGGCAUGUUUUUAGGUCUUUAACUGUUUUAAAUUGUUUACCAUGUUUCCGUAUUAUUGUGUCUAUUCCGUAUUACUUUGACCAUAUGAAUUAUGUGCAUGAUUACCAGAUAGACAGAGGGCGUUUCGGGCCUUUGGGUUUAGAAAUGCUUGUCACGGCUAAGGCCCCGGUUCGGAUCGUGACAAACUUGGUAUCAAAGCACAGUUCAUGGUCCCAGGGUAUCUGCAAAAUUGUAUUGGGUAGAGUCUUGUUUAUGGGUGUGUAGAGCGCCACACAUAAGCAGGAGGCUACAAGGCGUUUAGGAAUGUCUCUCUUUCUUCAUAUUCUAGUUCGUGCUAUAGAGUCAGAAUGUUCCUCUUUCAUACUCUAAUUCGUGCUAUGGUGUCACCCAUACGAAAAGAAAAGUUAUCCUAAUUUUUUCCUCACUCUAGUGUUUCCAGAUAUUCUUCGAUUAUCUAGCAGAAAUUUCAGAAGUCCCAUAAAGGAUGAAAGAGGAGUUCCCUAGUGUAAAAUUGUGUCCUCGUUCUUAUGAGGCGUUCAGUUAAGACAAGAGUAAGAUGUGUAUUCUUUAGUCAUUGAAUAUUGUGUAUCAAUCUUCUAUCUUUUGUAAUCUUGAUAUCAUUGUGUUGUUGAAAACAAAAGCCUAGUGAAGUCGUGUGAGGCCUAUUUCGAUUCACUAGCAACUUGUUGUUCAUCUUAUUGUUCUUGUAUUUGUUGGAACUGUAUUUCCACCCGAGUAGUAGUAUAAGUUAGAGUGUCGGUGUCAUGACCUAUUGGUAGUGAAAUUAGACCAAGAAGUUUNNNNNNNNNNNNNNNNNNNNNNNNNNNNNNNNNNNNNNNNNNNNNNNNNNNNNNNNNNNNNNNNNNNNNNNNNNNNNNNNNNNNNNNNNNNNNNNNNNNNNNNNNNNNNNNNNNNNNNNNNNNNNNNNNNUUAAGGUGGUUAUAGAAACCCCUUAUAGGCUAUGAAUGAAAAUGGCUAGAUUAGCCAGUAGGUUGUAAGUAUAGACUCAUUGUCAUAUGGGGUAUCUGAAGGUAGUCUAAAUGCCCAUUGGGGUAAGUAAGUGUGAUGUGAGAAAGCCGUAUAAGUAGAUAAGAUUGUAUGGUUAUAAUAUAAGCUUAAGGUUGAUCAUGUCUAUUAUGUGACCUUACCCCUUAACCUUCUUCUCAUUGGUAGUUGUAAACUAAUACUACUUGUGAGAAAGCAUGUAGUAGAUUUUUGAAGUAUUUUGGUAGAAUAUACCAAUUUGAAGGAUUAGUAUAUUUAUAUUAUGUUGCACUCUUCAUUGGUUAUAAAUGAUUGAUGCUAGACUAUAGGCUUGAAUUUAAAUGGUGUGGUGGUGAAUAGUGGCAAGAGAUUGAUGAUACAUGUUUCAUGGGAUUAGAUUUGUAAGCUUGAUGUGUUGAAAUAGUACGUGCUAAAGGAAUGACAAGGAAAACCGUAAGGUCAUGAUCGAUUAUUGUGGUUAUGAAUUUCUAGUGUACUAGUGUUUCUUGAUGUUUAUUUCAUAGUUUCUAAGUGAGGAUUGUGUGUAAGGUUGGUUGUAAAUCAUGUUUAGCACUAGACAUUAAGUUUGAAACAAUUGAUGGCCAUGGAGGUGGAUGUGAUGAUUCCUUGGUUAAUGAUACUAGUUAUAUGGAAGUGAUCUAUAGGCUUGAACAGUGUAUGCAAGUGCCUAAGUUUAUUUGAUUCGUAAUGAAGUCUGACAUUGUAUAUGUGAUGUAGAAGUAUGCCCAAGGUGGUAUGAAGCUGUAGUAUUUUUCUAGGGCUAUUACAUGUUGUGUGUGAAUACUGGUACUGUUGAGCUGCUAGGUGGAAAAAUACUAGCUAGAUGGUAUAUGGCGUUCUAAAUAGCAAAGUUAAGGACCUUUGAUUGAUAGCGUUGAGCCUUUUGAUAUCAUGGUAGAGGAAAAUAAGUUUGAAGUUGCUAUGUUGGUAGACUAUGAUAGAAAUAGAGUGGCUCAUUGAAGACUUGGUGAUACCCAUGUUAGGUGUUAUAAUCUAAGCUCGAGUCCUUGAAAGUCGUACUAAUAGAAAUAUUGAGUAGAGGCACUAGAGGGUGUGCAUUUCAACUUUGGGGAUACUCAUGAAGAUUCAAAGUUAGUAAGUGUUCGAGUAAUAGAUGAUGACUAUUGGGGUUAUAGAAUGAUAGAGUGUGCCUCAGGAGGUAGUAUUAGCAGUGGACGUUCCACUCUCAUAUGUGAUCUUUUAAUUUUUAUUAAUUUUGUGUAUUGUCAUAUUUCAGAACCCAGAGUGCAGUGAGUGUAGUUAAGUUUAAAGUCUAGUAAGGUACCUCCCAAAACUUAAAAUGAUAGCUUAAAGCUAAGGGGAGAUAUGACUAAACGAAUAACCAAGUAAGACUCUUAGAUUCUUGUAGUGAUGUCAUGAUGAUGUAGAACAUCAAAAAGUAAGGGUGAAUCUCAACCCAUUCCUAUCUCAGUAUUUCUCAAUGAUCCUAAUACCUACUCAUGAUUUACGAUUUAGCUCCAUGAUCAGUUCACGUUCAUACAUAUGAUAGAGAGUCAUGUACUCACNNNNNNNNNNNNNNNNNNNNNNNNNNNNNNNNNNNNNNNNNNNNNNNNNNNNNNNNNNNNNNNNNNNNNNNNNNNNNNNNNNNNNNNNNNNNNNNNNNNNNNNNNNNNNNNNNNNNNNNNNNNNNNNNNNNNNNNNNNNNNNNNNNNNNNNNNNNNNNNNNNNNNNNNNNNNNNNNNNNNNNNNNNNNNNNNNNNNNNNNNNNNNNNNNNNNNNCUUAUGCGAUGAUAGUGGUGGUGAGUAAUUACUCCUUGUUGAUGAAGAUCAUAGUACGCUUGUUUAGAUAAGGCUAUAAGUAUGAAGUAAGAUUUGGGGCCAAGUUUUUAUUUAUGUGAUAGUUAAUAGAAUUUUGUAUGUGUAUGUUCUUGGGGUAGCUCAUGGGAGUGUUAUUGAUAGUGGUUUAGAGAAUAUAUGGAGUAUGCCUUUAUGAGUGUUUGCUUUGAAGUUCAUAUGUGGUUAUAAAGAUAGGCUUGAAUGACAUGUUGAGAUUGUUGUAAAGGAAUGCUAAUAUGCGCUAGCGACUUCAUAGUAAGAGUUCAGAGUAGUCAUUGAAGUGGUAAGGCAUGUUAUACUUAGGAUGUGCUCUUUAAAGGAGAUAUAGAAGAUUACAUCAUAUGGUUUAGAAUAAUAGUGUGGUCUGGCAUGUUGUAUUUUUGUGACUUAGAGUUAGGCUUGAUCACGGCGAAGGGAUUAAGUUAUUUCCGACAUUAGUAGAAAGAUUUGUCAAUGCUUAUAGGAGAAUUUUAAGUUGAGUUGAAUGAAUAUGAUAUUUAAGGAGAAUAGUAUAGUUAAGUGAUAUUCGAGAAGUGCGCUAAGCUUGAAAGUAAGAAUUUGUGAUGCCAAAGGCCUGGUAAUUCUAUCCUAAUUCAGGAGUUAUAUUCCUAUGUUCCAGACUACAGAGUAGUGUCAAUGUGGUGAUUCCUCAGUUGGAUGUCUUGUGUAAUCCAUACCCAAGAUUCAUGGCUCCCUAUUACUGCUAGAAUUUCUUUAGAGAAUUGUGAUGAAGAGAUACUCCAGUUAAGUAUGAGGGUGUAGUAUAAUUCAGUCUAUAUGGCCAAUAAGUCAGUUUAGCAGUUAGAUUCGCAUGACCUGUUUUCUCGUCUCUGUACUUAUUCAUGCUAUACGAAAUUUCAGACGUGCUACUAUUCCAAGAUAAAGUAUACCAGUAGUUAUGAGUAUAGCCCAUUUCAUGCAUCGUGCAUUAAAUUCAGAUUCCAGAUGUUCAGUUAUGAUUCAAUUCAUAGGUGCCCUAUGCAUCGCCUCAGUUUUUCGAGUAUCUUAGUGAAUUGAGCAUUCAUAGAGGGACAUAGGGUACCAAUGGGGAGAUACCCCAUUCAGUUACAUGCAUAGAUUCUUAUUACGAGCUUCACAUCAGUUAUUAUUGCGUAUUUAGCCAUAAGUUCAUACGUUAGUUCAGUCAGAUAUGCAUGCAUUAGAAAUGCAUGCUCAAUAUAAAAGUUCAGCUUAUCAGAGUAUUCAGUCCUACAUUCAUGAGAACAACUCGGUCACAGAUCCAUGCAUCAGAUAUGCAUGAUUCAUUAUCAGAAUUCACCCUAUGAGUAGCUUCAGUUGUGUAUUCCCUGCCUCGAAUAUGCAUGUCCGGCAUAAGUAUUUAAAACAUCAGUAGUUCCAAUCUUAUAGUCAUGUUUCCAAUCAGUGUAUUCUUUCCUCGGGAACAAAUCAUGUAUGCAUUAUCCCAUACCCUUAAGACUUCGACAUUCUAUUCAUCAUUCGUGGACGAAUGAUCCUAAGGGGGAGAUAAUGUAACACCCCGCAUUUCGGGCUAGAAUAUAAACCAUGACUCUGAUGCGUUGAUAAUCCCAAAGCCUUAAAUCCUAUGCCAAUUUGGCAUGUUUAUGUAGUAUGUGAAUCCAUUUGACCAUGAAUUUAGACCAUAUAGGUCCUUCAACUUAAGGACGAGUUGAAACUAUUUCGAUCGAUUAAGUUUUAGUGGAUGUUGUAAUUUGUGUCAGCUCCCAUCGACUAUAAAUCUAUGUAUAUGUCGAAUUAGAGAGCCUACUAUGUGUCAAAUGAUAGGUAUUCGAGUUAAUUUUCCAACGACACCAAUUUUGCUAAAAUCUGACACCCGAGCAAGAAGUUAUGGCCUUUCAAAGUAGUAUGCAUCGUCUAACCAAUCGCACAUGGCCACUAGAAAGCAUAUGCGAUAGCAUAUGCGGCUCCUAUGUAAAUAUAGGCGAUAUCAUAUGCGGNNNNNNNNNNNNNNNNNNNNNNNNNNNNNNNNNNNNNNNNNNNNNNNNNNNNNNNNNNNNNNNNNNNNNNNNNNNNNNNNNNNNNNNNNNNNNNNNNNNNNNNNNNNNNNNNNNNNNNNNNNNNNNNNNNNNNNNNNNNNNNNNNNNNNNNNNNNNNNNNNNNNNNNNNNNNNNNNNNNNNNNNNNNNNNNNNNNNNNNNNNNNNNNNNNNNNNNNNNNNNNNNNNNNNNNNAUGUAUGAAACCAUGUAUUUAAGAAUGAAUUCUUGUUGAGAGCAUGAAUUUUUCAGAUUUCUCAUAGCAUAUGAAUUGUUUUGCAAUGCAUCCUUGAAAAGCACUAUAUGAAAUGAUUGAACUCUCAUUAUGAUUUAAAGGUGGUUUUAAAUCACUAAAGAGGGAGUCUAGCAUAAAUGUUUAAUGUUCAUAAUGCAUGUAAUGAAAGAGUGCAUGGAUUUGCUAAAGGCACUAGACCACCAUAUGUUGAUGAAGUUUUUGCAUGAUUUUGACUUAAGUUGCAAAACACGAAAUCUUCUAUAUCAGUUGCAUGCUUUUGGUGGUCUAAAUUAUGCUUUAAAUAAAAGAUUUAGCUUAAUGUAUUAUGGAUCAGAAAUCAUGUCUUGCAAGUCUUGGUAUGACGGUACCAAUUAGGACCAAUGCCAUAUCAAACUCAGACUAAUAGACAUUUUAGACUAUCAUGAUUUUAGACAUUCAGAAUGUUGCAUGUACAGAAAAGGUUAAAAAUGGGCAUACAGAGAUGUUAGGUGGUUCCCUGAAGAGGGCUUGAGUUCAAGCAACUCAUUGCCUAAAAUCGUGGUUUGUCGACCUGGGUAUAUUAUUAUACGCUGACUUAAGUGUCGUGUGGCGUAUCAGAUUCAGGAACUCCAACCCUUACGGCAUACUCGGGUUGGAGGCUUCCCCACCGAGUCAAUGACGGGUUCCAUAUCUCCCGUGGAAUAUCAGACUUGUAGGGGAUACCACCUAACUCAGAAGUAAUACACAGAUCAGAGUUUGAGAUUUACAGACAGGUUACAUGUUUUCAGAAGGUGCCCAUGUGUUUUCAGAAACUAUUUUAUGCAUAAUGUUUGAUGAACAUUUGCUCUCACGUAUUAUAUAUAUAUAUAUAUAUGUUCAAUUACUCUAUUUUGGAUUGCUUCGCAUGCCAGUACAAUUGUGCUGACCCCCCCUUCUUUUCAGGUACUGAGGCAUAGUCUAGGGGUCCAGAUCCUUGGUAGAGUCUACAGACAGGGUUGUCUCAGAGUUCAGUUGGCGAGCCUUCUUUGCUUCGGAAGGCCUAGUCAUUUAGGUAUUUAUUUUAGUAUAGUUUUUGGUUUGCUGGGGGCCUUGUCCCAGUUAUUCAGAUAGUAUGUCAGUAGAGAUUUCGCAGACUGUUGUAGAUGUUUAUUAAAAAUUGUUAGGCAUUUUUUCAGGCCUUUAACUAUUUUAAAUUGUUGUCCAUGUUUCUGUAUAUGUGCAUGAUUACCAAAUAGACAGAGGGCGUUCCGGGCCUUCGGGUUCGAAAAUGCUCGUCACGGCCAGGGCCCUAGUUCGGGUCAUGACAAACUUGGUAUCAAAGGACGAUUCAUGGUCCCAGGGUGUCUGCAAAAUCGUGUCGGGUAGAGUCUUAUUUAUGGGUGUGUAGCGCGCCACACUUAUAAGCAGGAGGCUACAAGGAGUUUAGGAAUGUCUUUCUUUCUUCAUGUUCUAGUUCGUGCUAUAGAGUCAGAAUGUUUCUCCUUUAUACUCUAAUUCGUGCUAUGGUGUCACCCAUACAAAAAGAAAAGUUAUCCUAAUUUCUUCCUCACUCUGGUGUUUCUAGAUAUUCUCUGAUUAUCUAGCAGAACUCUGAUUAUCUAGCAGAAAUUUCAAAAGUCCCACAAACGAUGAAAGAGGAGUUCCCUAGUGUAAAAUUGUGCCCUCGUUCUUAUGAGGCGUUCAGUUAAGACAAGAGUAAGAUGUAUAUUCUUAAGUCAUUGAAUAUUGUGUAUCAAUCUUCUAUCUCUGUAAUCUUGAUAUCAUUGUGUUGUUGAAAACAAAAGUCUAGUGAAGUCGUGUGAGGCCUAUUUCUAUUCACUAGCAACUUGUUAUUCAUCUUGUUAUUCUUGUGAUUGUUGGAACUAUAUUUCCACCUGAGUAGUAGUAUAAGUUAGAGUGUCGAUGUCAUGACCUAUUCGUAGUGAAAUUAGACCAAGAAGUUUAUGAUAUGAAGUCAUAAGGUUAGAGGUCAGAGUAAGGGUGACUUUUGUGAUUAAAUAUUUAUAGUUGAAUAACUAUUGAUUGAGAAUGAUUUACCCUUUCGUGGUAGUAGACUAAUGUGAUGGUACAUUUAUGAAUUAUAUGGUAGUCCGUGGAGAAAGUGUUGACUCAGAAUGUUAUUUGUUUUCUUCCUUUCAAAAUAGAGAAAGAGCCUAGAGUGGAUACUUAAGGUGGUUAUAGAAAACCCUUAUAGGCUAUGAAUGAAAAUGGCUAGAUUAGCCAGUAGGUUGUAAGUAUAGACUCAUUGUCAUAUGGGGUAUCUGAAGGUAGUCUAAAUGCCUAUUGGGGUAAGUAAGUGUGAUGUGAUAAAGUCGUAUAAGUAGAUAAGAUUGUAUGGUUAUAAUAUAAGCUUAAGGUUGAUCAUGUCUAUUAUGUGACCUUACCCUUAACCUUCUUCUUAUUUGUAGUUGUAAACUAAUACUACUUGUGAGAAAGUAUGUAGUAUAUUUUUGAAGUAUUUGAGUAGAAUAUCCCAAUUUGAAGAUUAGUAUAUUUAUAUUAUGUUGCACUCUUCGUUGGUUGUAAAUGAUUGAUGCUAGACUAUAGGCUUGAAUUUAAAUGGAGUGGUGGUGAAUAGUUGCAAGAGAUUGAUGAUACAUGUUUCGUGGGAUUAGAUUUGUAANNNNNNNNNNNNNNNNNNNNNNNNNNNNNNNNNNNNNNNNNNNNNNNNNNNNNNNNNNNNNNNNNNNNNNNNNNNNNNNNNNNNNNNNNNNNNNNNNNNNNNNNNNNNNNNNNNNNNNNNNNNNNNNNNNNNNNNNNNNNNNNNNNNNNNNNNNNNNNNNNNNNNNNNNNNNNNNNNNNNNNNNNNNNNNNNNNNNNNNNNNNNNNNNNNNNNNNNNNNNNNNNNNNNNNNNNNNNNNNNNNNNNNNNNNUGAUGUAGAAGUAUGCCCAAGGUGGUAUGAAGCUGUAGUAUUUUUCUAAGGCUAUUACAUGUUGUGUGUGGAUACUGGUACCAUUGAGUUGCUAGGUGGAAAAAUACUAGCUAGAUGGUAUAUGGCGUUCUAAAUAGCAAAGUUAAGGACCUUUGAUUGAUAGCGUUGAGCAUUUUGAUAUGAGCUUGAUUCUCAUGGUAGAGGAACAUAAGUUUCAAGUUGCUAUGUUGGUAGACUAUGAUAGAAAUAGAGUGGCUCAUUAAAGACUUGGUGAUACCCAUAUUAGGUGUUAUAAUCUAAGCUCGAGUCCUUGAAAGUCGUGCUAAUAGAAAUAAGAGUAGAGGCACUAGAGGGUAUGCAUUUCAACUUUGGAGAUACUCAUGAAGAUUCGUAGUUAGUAAGUGUUCGAGUAAUAGAUUAUGACUAUUGGGGUUACAGAAUGAUAGAGUGUGCCUCAGGAGGUAGUAUUAGCAGUGGGCACUCCACUCUCAUAUGUGGUCUUUCGGGUUAAGUUUUAUUAAUUUUGUGUAUUGUCAUAUUUCAGAACCCAGAGUGCAGUGAGUGUAGUUAAGUUUAAAGUCUAGUAAGGUGACUCCCAAAACUUAAGAUGAUGGCUUGAAGCUAAGGGGGGGAGAUCACUAAACGAAUAACCAAUUAAGACUCUCAGAUUCUUGUAGUGAUGUCAUGAUGAUGUAGAACAUCAAAAAGUAAGGGUGAAUCUCAACCCAUUCCUAUCUCAGUAUUUCUCAAUGAUCCUAAUACCUACUCAUGCUUUAUGAUUUAGUUCCAUGAUCAGUUCACGUUCAUACAUAUGAUAGAGAGUCAUGUACUCACGCUUUAUAAUGUGAUCCAUUUCCAUAACUCAUGUUUUACGCCAAAUGAUUGGCGAGAUUCAGCUUAUAUCCAUGAAUACCCUAAAUUCAAAGCACUUUGAUGAGUCCCUGUUGUUGUUUUCAUACUCCUCAGACCUCAGAUGAGUGUCAAGCUUCAUAUAGUAUCAUUCCAUACCUCCAGAUCUUAUGUUCUAACCUUUUUGUGACUCCUCCUUAUGCGAUGAUAGUGGUGGUGAGUAGUUACUCCUUGUUGAUGGAAGAUCAUAGUAUGCUUGUUUGGAUAACGCUAUAAGUAUGAAGUAAGAUUUGGGGCUAAUUUUUUAUUUAUGUGAUGGUUAGUUGAAUUUUGUAUGUGUAUGUUCUUGGGGUAGCUCGUGGGAGUGAUAUUGAUAGUGGUUUAGAGAAUAUGUGAAGUAUUCCUUUAUGAGUGUUUGCUUUGAAGUUCAUAUGUGGUUAUAAAGAUAGGCUUGAAUGACAUGUUGAGAUUGUUAUAAAGGAAUGCUAAUAUGCGCUAGCGACUUCAUAGUAAGAGUUCAGAGUAGUCAUUGAAGUGGUAAGGCAUGUUAUACUUAGGAUGUGAUCUUUAAANNNNNNNNNNNNNNNNNNNNNNNNNNNNNNNNNNNNNNNNNNNNNNNNNNNNNNNNNNNNNNNNNNNNNNNNNNNNNNNNNNNNNNNNNNNNNNNNNNNNNNNNNNNNNNNNNNNNNNNNNNNNNNNNNNNNNNNNNNNNNNNNNNNNNNNNNNNNNNNNNNNNNNNNNNNNNNNNNNNNNNNNNNNNNNNNNNNNNNNNNNNNNNNNNNNNNNNNNNNNNNNNNNNNNNNNNNNNNNNNNNNNNNNNNNNNNNNNNNNNNNNNNNNNNNNNNNNNNNNNNNNNNNNNNNNNNNNNNNNNNNNNNNNNNNNNNNNNNNNNNNNNNNNNNNNNNNNNNNNNNNNNNNNNNNUGAAGAGAUACUCCAGUUAAGUAUGAGGGUGUAGUAUAAUUCAGUCUAUAUGGCCAAUAAGUCAGUUUAGCAGUUAGAUUUGUAUGACUUGUUUUCUCGUCUUUGCACUUAUUCAUGCUACUCGAAAUCUCAGACAUGCUACUAUUCCAAGAUAGAGUAUACCAGUAGUUACGAGUAUAGCCCAUUUCAUGCAUCAUGCAUUAAAUUCAGAUUCCAUAUGUUCAGUUAUGAUUUAAUUCGUAGGUUCCCUGUGCAUCGCCUCAGUUUUCCGAGUAUCUUAGUGAAUUGAGCAUUCAUAGAGGGACAUAAGGUACCAAGGGGGAGAUACCCCAUUCAGUUGCAUGCAUAGAUUCUUAUUACAAGCUUCACAUCGGUUAUUAUUGCGUAUUUAGCCAUAAGUUCAUACUUUAGUUCAGUCAGAUAUGCAUGCAUUAGAAAUGCAUGUUCAACAGAAAAGUUCAGCUUAUCAGUGUAUUCAGUCCUGCAUUCAUGAGAACAACUCGGUCACAGAUCCAUGCAUCAGAUAUACAUGAUUCAUUAUCAAAAUUCAGCCUAUGAGUAGCUUCAGUUGUGUAUUCUAUGCCUCGGUUAUGCAUGUCCGGCAUAAGCAUUUAAAACAUCAGUAGUUCCAAUCUUAUAGUCAUGUUUCCGAUCAGUGUAUUCUUUCUUAGGGAACAAAUCAUGUCAGCGUUAUCCCAUAGCCUUAAGACUUCGACAUUCUAUUCAUCAUUCAGGGACGAAUGACCCCAAGGGGGAGAUAAUGUAACACCCCGCAUUUCGGGAUAGAAUAAAACCAUGACUCUGAUGCAUUGAUAAUCCCAGAGCCUUAAAUCCUAUGCCAAUUUGGAAUGUUUAUGCAGUAUUUAAAUCCAUUUGAGCAUGAAUUUAGACCAUAGAGGUCCUUCAACUCAAGGACGAGUUGAAACUAUUUCGAUCGAUUAAGUUUUAGUGGAUGUUGUAAUUUGUGUCAGCUCCCAUAGACCAUAACUCUCUAUAUAUGUUGAAUUAGAGAGCCUACUAUGUUUCAAAUGAUAGGUCUUCGAGUUAACUUUUCAAAGAUACCAAUUUUGCUAAAAUUCGACACUCGAGCAAGAAGUUAUGGCCUUUCAAAGUAGUAUGCGUCGCCUAACCAAUCGGACAUGGCCACUGAAAAGCAUAUGCGGUGCCUAUGUAAAUAUAGGCGAUAUCAUAUGCGGCGCACAUCUUAUGGUUUCAAGUGACUUAAACACUCCAUUUUUGGGGCAAAGUGGUCCUUUUCCCACCCUUAUUCAGCCAUAAACACGAAAUUCAGUCUCCAAUUCUCCAAAAUACAUCCACAUUCAUCUAAAAAUUCUCAAGAACACUGCCAAGGGUUUCAAACUAAAAAUCCAAAUAAAUCAAGACUCAACCGUGGGUUUUCAAAAUUGAUUAGAGAUUUGAAAUCCCCAAUCCACAGUCUUCAAGAAGCACCCAUUUUUUCUGAAAUAGAGGUACGCGGUGUUUUUCUAAAUUCUCAUGGGCAUAGAAAAAUCAUGUUUUAGAAUGGGGUUUUAAUGAACUGGGAAAGCUGCUACUUAUCAAAUGAAAGAUCUUUGAGUUUUCUUUCCAAUGCAACUAGUUUCAUCCAAAUCCAACAUCUGAGUAAGGAGUUAUACCCGUUUUACUUCAGCCUGUCAAUUUGUCAACUGAGGGACAGUUUUGACUUUGUUUGUUUUCUUAGGGGCAUUUUAGUCAUUUCACCUCACACAAAUUUCGUCUAUAACACCAGAUUUAGCCCCAAAUUUAUCAAAAUAAAAUUCUUCUCUCAAAUUUUCUCUCAAGAACACCCCUUAGGGUUUCAAACAAAAAUCCCAAAUAACUCAAGAUUCAACCGUGGAUUUUGGAACAUAAUUAGAGAUUUGGAAUCCCCACAUCGUAGGCUUCAAGGAUCAUCCCUCAAUUUCUUAAAUAGAGGUAUGCAGGAUUUUCUUAAAAUCUCAUGGGCAUAGAAAAAUCAUGUUUUAGAAUGGGAUGUUUGAAUCUAUGUAUAUAUUCAUGUAUAAAAUGUUUUAACAUCAUUGUUUUGGUCUUUUGACCUUUCCCAAAGUGAUUUGAGAAUAUGAAUGUAUGAAACCAUGUAUUUAAGAAUGGAUUCUUGUUGAGAGCAUGAUUUUCGGUGAAUUCCCACUUACUAUGAAUUUUUGGUGGCCUAAAUUAUGCUUUAAAUGAAAAAUUUAGCUUAAUGUAUUAUGGCUCAGAAAUCAUGACUUGCAAGUCUUGGUAUGACGAUACCAAUUCAGACCAAUGCUAUAUCAGACUCAGACUAAUCGAUAUUUUAGACUAUCAUGAUUUUAGACAUUCAGAAUGUUGUAUGCACAGAAAAGGUUAAAAAUAGGCAUACAGAGAUGUUAGGUGGUUCCCUGAGGAGGGCUUGAGUUCAAGCAAUUCAUUGCCUAAAAUCAUGGUUUGCCGACCCGGGUAUAUUAUUAUACGCUGACUUAAGUGUCGUGUGGCGUAUCAGAUUCAGAAACUCCAACCUUUGCGGCAUACUCGGGUUGGAGGCUUCCCCGCCGAGUCAAUGGCCACAAAUCAGAGUUUGAGAUUUACGAACAGGUUAUAUAUUUUCAGAAGAUGACCAUGUGUUUUUAGAAACUAUUUUAUGUAUAAUGUUUGAUGAAAAUUUUCUCUCCCAUAUUAUAUAUAUAUAUGUUCAAUUACUCUAUUUUGGAUUGCUUCACCUGCCAGUACAAUUGUGCUGACCCCCCCUUCCUCCCAGGUACUGAGGCGCAGUCUAGGGGUCCAGAUCCUCAGUAGAGUCUACAGACAGGGUUUUCUCAGAGUUCAGUUAGUGAGCCUUCUUUGCUUCGGAAGGACUAGUCAUUUAGGUAUUUAUUUCAGUAUGGUUUUUUUUCUGAUGGGGGCCUUGUCCCAGUUAUUCAGAUAGUAUGUCAGUAGAGAUUUCGCAGACUGUUGUAGAUGUUUAUUAAAUAUUGUUGGGCAUGUUUUCAGGACUUUAACUAUUUUAAAUUGUUGACCACGUUUCCGUACUAUUGUGUCUAUUUUGUAUUACUUUGAUUAUAUGAAUUAUGUGCAUGAUUACCAGAUAGACAGAGGGCGUUCCGGGCCUUCGGGUUCGGGAAUGCUCAUCACGGCCAGGACCCCAGUUCGGGUCGUGACAGAGGUAGAGGUAGAUCAAAUAAAUACUGGAGGGAGGCGAUUAGACAUGACAUGGAGCAGCUUCAGCUUACCGAGGACAUGACCCUGGAUAGGAAGUUGUGAAGGAGGCAUACUAGGAUAGAAGGUUAGUAUUGUAGAGAAUAGCAGAAGAAAAGUAUAAUUGCAGAGACCUUCUGCUAGCCCAAGAUCGUUAACUAUGAUCGAAAGAUUCAUCUAAGAAGAGGAAGUUAUGAAAAGAAAAGGAAGAACUUUAAUAUGGAGAACACUACAUGAAUUGAUUUUAUGUUUUUGUUGGUUACAAAUAUCCAAGCCUCAUACCUAUUUAUACUAGUCUAUAGAUGAUUCUAGGAAUUCUUUUAGAUAUCUAGUGAUCUUUAUCUUCUACCACUACUCUAAUAUAUUUAGAUAAUUUUAUAAGAACAAUCUAGACAACUUUAUCUUCUAUCUAUCUAAGAAUAAUCUAGAUAUUUCUCUAAGAUACUUAUCGUAAUACUAUGUUAGAGUAUUCUAGAAACUUUAUUAGAAAAUCUAUGAUUCCAAAAAAUCAACUUUAAUAUUUUUACAAGUAUGAGUGUAGGAUGUUGUAUUUGUAAAGAAUAGCAGAAGAAAGAUGUAGUUGGUGAGACCUUCUUCUAGCCUAAGAUCGUUUAAAUAAGAUCAGAAGAUAAAGCUAUGAAAAGAGAAGGAAAAACUUUUAUAUGGAGAACACUACUUGAAUUGAUUUUAUUUUUAGUUGGUUUCAAAUGCCUAAUUUCAUCACCUAUUUAUACUUGUGUAGAGAUGAUUCUAGAUACUAUAAAUCUAGAGUGUUCUAUGCUUUUCCACUAAUAUCUCUUUAAAAUUUCUAGCACCCUCUAAUAUCUAGAGCUUUCCUAAAUACAAAUAUCAAAUAACUAUAUUAUCCUUUUCUAGAUUAUUUUGCCUAGAAUUACCUAGAAUAUCUAGAUAUUUCUUCAACAUGAUUAUUCUAGAAACUACACUAGAUAUUUUAGAAACUUUACUAGAAAAUUAUGAUUCCAAAAAAUCUACUUUAAUAUUUUCACACUCCCCCUUAAAGUGAUUUCUUGGAAGCUACCCUAAACUUGUCAUGGAAGAACUCAAACGAAGCUUUGAAUCGCGCCUUUGUGAAAAUCCUAGCAAUUUUUGCUUGACUCCUCUUGCUUCUUCAAAUGAUAAAGAUUUUCCGUCAAUAAUCGACGUUGUGAAGAAACAAGAAUAUGUAUUGACAAAUUUUUAUCUUUGUAGCAGACUAGCUUGAUAAUAGUCCUUAUUGGACUUUGUGAACCAUAUAAAUCACCUCCUUGCUAAGUUUCAUGUUGUUGAGUUUCUCAGCUCCCCUUUUUUUUUAGCUUAUCGACAAUUAUGUUAUUCAGAGAAACACCUAUGAUAGAAAUGUAAGGAACUUCAACGUUUAAUUUUUGUGUCACCUCUUCUUCCAACCCAACUCUAUGAUAUGAGGAAAUUUCAUCUGUAUCAGCUACUUUAUUUGAGUUGGUGAUGAUCUGACCAUUAAUUUCCUUCGAAACCACAUAACUAUCCUAGGGUUCUCCACUAGCUUCCUUUACCAACUCCUCAAUAAACUGUCUAGCUGCUUCAGAUGUUUCAAAAAAAUAUGGUAUGUCUCUCUAUCUGAGAUUGUGACUUCAAGGUCAGCUUCUCCAUUUAUUUGAUUUUUUGCUUCUUCAUCUACUUCUGAUUUUUUUACAACACUAGUGAUUGACCAAGAUAUAGUAGAUGAUUGAUCAAAGACUUCAACUUCCAUUAUAUUUCCCUUAAUGCUUUCUUUGAUAAAGUCAUUACUGGCAUAUAGAGUUUCAGACAUUAUUUGCUUAGAAUUUACUUCAAUAUCCUCCACGUUCGAACUUUUAUUGUCAUUUUCAAGAUUUACUUCUUUGAUUUUCUUGAUAGCAGUUACUACAACUCUAGUCGGAAUGUUUUUAGUAUCAUCUUGUUUCUUAUCGAUUCCUUCUUGCUCUAUAUGAUGCAUUGUAUUAUGUCAGAUCCAAUCUCUUUUCAAAUUUAUGGAAGCCAAUGCAUUUAUUGCUCGACUCUUGGCUGCUAAGCAUCUUCCCCAAUCUUCUUCUUCUUCAACAACUUUUCCAUUCUGAGCCAUUUUGCUCUCCGUGACUUGACAACAUCUUUUUAUGUGUCCUACUUUUCCACACCAAUAACAUCUGAGAGACUUCUUAGUAUAAUUGUUAAAAGUCUUUUCCUUCUUUCCCGGCGAGCUUGAACAACUCAAGAAUCAAGUGUGAGGAAUAUCUCUUGCUCUUCUUUUAAUGUUCCUCUUGUCAGCUACAAGAGCAUUUUCUUCCCUUUGUUUGACAAAUUCACCAGCCAAUUAUUUGGCUAGUAACUCCUAUGAUGACAGCAAAUUCUCAAAUUCCUCUGGGGAUGGUUUUUUAGCCCAUCCAUGAAUUGAUGUCACAAAGAAAAUAUAUUCUGAUUGCAAACCACGAAUGAUAAUUUUUCUCAUCCGUGAUUCAGAGAUAGCCUCGUCCGUAUCCAAUAAAGAAAUUUCAGAACAUGAGUUCUUAAUCUUUAAAAAGUACUCGGCAAUAGAAAGAUUACCUUGGGUGGUGUUUGCCAAUUUAUUCUCCAAUAUUUAUAGUGGAGCUUCAUUUUUCUUGUUGUACAACUGAUCGAGCGUCCUCCAUAUUUCAUGAGCUGAUUUACAUCUUAUGAUGUGGUCAAAUAAACUAGAGGAGAUAGACCUCUUCAGAAUGAACUCUACCUUCGCCUUAAUCUGCUUCAACUUCUUGUAUGCACUACUAUUCUCCGGUCCGUCUUCCGAAGGACUUGUGUUACUUCCUUUAACAACAUCCCACAAAUCCUCGCCAACAAGAUAUGAUUCCAUGCAAGUCUUACAUACCUUGUAAUUAGAAUGACUCAACAACUCCAUUCUCAAUCCAUUAACGUUACCGUUUAAAUCUAUUCGCACAAACCAGUUGAAUCAACACAAAUACGAUCUUGAAAUAAACAUAAGUCAAUCUAUGAAUUUGGCUAUAAUACCAUGUAAGGAAUAGCAGAAUAAAGAUGUAGUUGGAGAGACCUUCUGCUAGCCCAAGAUUGUUUAAUUAAGAUCAGAUUCAACUAAGAAGAGGAAGCUAUGAAAAGAGAAGGAAAAACUUUUAUAUGGAGAACACUACUUGAAUUGAUUUUAUUUUUAGUUGGUUACAAAUGCAUAAUGUCAUCCUCUAUUCAUACUUGUGUAGAGAUGAUUCUAGAUACUACAAAUCUAGAGUGUUCUAUGCUUUUCCACUAAUAGCUCUCUGAAAUUUCUAGCACCCUCUAAUAUCUAGAGCUUUCCUAAAUACAAAUAUCAAAUAACUAUAUUAUCCUUUUCUAGAUUAUUCUACCUAGAAUUACCUAGCAAAUCUAGAUAUUUCUUCAACAUGAUUAUUCUAGAAACUACACUAGAUAUUUUAGAAACUUUACUAGAAAACUAUGAUUUCAAAAAUCUACUUUAAUAUUUUCACAGUAUCUUUUGUUGUAUUACAUGGUGUUCUUGUUUAUGGUACUAUUGGAUGUGUUGAUUUCUAUUGUAUCUUGUUAUUUUACUAUUCCUUGUCUAGAUUUCUUAUUUUGACCCAAAGGUCUAUCGGAAACAGUCUGUCUAUCUCACAUUUGAGGCAGUGGUAUGGAGUGCGUACGCUUACCCUCCACAGACCUCACUUGGUGGGAAUAUACUGGUAUAUUGUUUUUUGUUUGUUGCUUAGUAGCUUAGUUGGUCGGCUACCUGAACUUCAACCUUAUUGAUGAGAUUGUUUGAUUCUCCAUGUUGUAAUCCUCUCCUUAUUCCUUCCCAACAUGUCAUUCCUCUCCUUAGAUAUGAGCCAUUUUUAAUAGUCAGAUGAUUUCCCAUUAGAAAAUAGAAUUAGAAAUAGGAAGCGAACGUGUGACGCUAACUAUACAAAGGGAGGACAUGUCAUUUAUUUUCCAUCAGAGAUUAUGUGUGUGAAUAAUAGUGGUAGAUUCAAGAAUGGAACAUUAAAAAUUUUAAAUGACUAAUAAAUUUUAGAGCUUUAACAACUUACAUUAUACCAGAUGGACGAUAAAUAACAAAUAAUAAGUAUUUGCAUAAUUUUCAAGCUACGUGCUUAGUGAUCACAUCUCUUAUCCAAUAAAUAAAUAAAUAACAAUAUCUUGACUCUACUUAGCUUGUUUAGACUGAGUCUUACAUUGGUUCACUUCCUUCUUGUGUGAACGCAAUUUCUCGUUUAACAGUUAUUUUGUAUAUAAAUCCUUCCGAGGUUUUCAACUUUGAUAUCAUGUGUGGUGCAACAGAAUCCGUCAUGGGACUCACUCACUCUCGCCCUCGCUCUCACUCUCAUUCUCAUUCUUACUCGUCUAGUUCUUUCCGUGAUCAAAAUCUGGAUAUGGAAAUGAGUGAAUCAAUCACCACUCAGACGGACGUUUCUUUCAUGCUUGCUAAGCAUGUCUUUUCAAAUGAGAUCAAAGAUGAUACCAAUCUCGUGUUCUCUCCUCUCUCAAUGCAAACAGUACUAGGCCUGAUUGCUGCCGGCGCAAAAGGACCAACUAGGGACCAGCUUCUCUGUUUCCUUAAGUCCAAAUCUAUCGAUGAACUCAACUCUCUUUAUUCUCAUCUUGUCAAUAUCAUCUUUGUUGAUGGCAGCCCCAAUGGAGGUCCGCGUUUGUCUGUUGCUAAUGGUGUUUGGAUCGACCAAACACUGCCUUUUAAGCCUUCUUUUGAAAAGGUUGUGGAUAAAGUGUACAAGGCUACUUCAAAUUGUGUUGAUUUUCAGAACAAGGUAGCGCCUUUUUUAAUUUAUUUCAUCGAAACAUUGCUUCGUUUUUGCUAGGAUUUAACUUAACCUAAACACUACUCACAUCAUAAAAAACAUACAGAUGAUACAUAUGCUAAACUGCAUCUAACUCGGAUUGAGGUGUAUAGCCUGAUUGAUCGACAAAUCGGAGUGAAAAAUGAUAAACAAUAAGGACAGAGGCUGUAUUAUUUAGCCUUUUGAUGAUUCAUUAGUCAGGAAUAAAAAGAAGCCUAAAAUAUUCUCUUAUUUUUUUUUUUGCCGUGAAUUCCUCUUUGUUGGCUAAAGCAUAUGCUAAUUUUGUCGUAAAAUUUGUUUGUCUUGCAAAUUGAUUAAGGCUUCUGAGGUCGCCAAUCAAGUCAAUCAGUGGGCUGAAAUGAAGACAAAUGAUCUCAUCAGAGAGAUUCUUCCUCAUGGCACAGUAAACAGUAUGACAAGGCUCAUAUUUGCGAAUGCGCUAUAUUUUAAAGGAGCGUGGAAUGACAAGUUCAAUGCUUCGGAUACGAAAGACCAUAAAUUCCAUCUCCUUAGAGGAGGGUCUAUUAAAGCACCUUUCAUGACUAGCAAUGAGAAGCAGUAUGCAAUAGCCUUUGACGGCUUUAAAGUAUUGGGACUUUAUUAUAAACAAGGCAGAGAUACGCGCCGCUUCUGCAUGUAUCUACUUUUGCCAGAUGCCCAUGAUGGAUUACCAGCUUUGAUCGACAAAAUCAGUUCGUCACCAGGAUUUUUAAACCAGCAUGUUCCAUUCAGAAAGGUUGAAAUGGGCAAGUUACUCAUCCCUAAAUUCAAAACAACUUUUGGCUUUGAAGCUUCUAAGGUUCUUAAGGGAAUUGGCGUCUCUUCGCCUUUCUCUAGUGGUGGCCUCACUGAGAUGGUGGAUUCCCCUUUAGCUGGAAGGUUGUUUGUUUCACAGAUAUUUCACAAGUCCUUCAUUGAGGUAAACGAGGAAGGAACCGAAGCUGCAGCUGUUACAGCUAGUGUAAUACAGCCUAUGUCAAUUGAAGAGGAAAUCGACUUUGUUGCUGACCAUCCAUUCCUUUUCCUUAUAAGAGAUGAUUCUACUGGUGUCGUGUUGUUCAUAGGGAGCGUGUUGAAUCCUCUAACUAGUUAAUUUAGCGCAUAUUGCAUGAACAAUAUAAAGGUUUGUAAAGAAGGAUAGUUCUAUAAUGGACAAAGAGAGGUGCUAUGUAUCUAAAUAUCCAGUUUUCUGACUUGUGUCUGUUUGAUGAGGGAGAUGAUGUAUCUAAAUAGUCAGUUUCAUGAUCUGUGUACAAUUUUGAUGAGAGCUUAGUUGUGCUUUAUCUUUGACGUCUCAUGUAAUGACUUGUCUAUGCCUUCAACGUGUUUGUGCAUUUUUACGUGAUAUAUUGUUUUAAGAGAAAUUUAAGAAGGCUCUUGAGAUUGGUAACUAAAAUUAACUUUAGCUAAGUGAAGAAAAGUAGAUAGAAUAAAGGGUCGUUAGUAAGUUUGCAGCUUUUUUUGCAGCCACUAGCAAAUUUAGAAAUUGAAUACACUAUUGUGAAAUUUGUGUUCUUAAUCCAAAUUUUUUGGAACAUAUUUUGAGUUUGAAGUUUCCAAGAUUCCGAAGAUGACAUGUCAUUUCUCGAGGAAUCUUACUAGUUUAGUUGAUUGGCUUCGUGAACUUCCACAUUGUUAAUAAAAGAAUUUGAUUCUCCGUGUUAUAGUCCCCUUCCCCUACCCGAAAUAAAAAAUAAAAAACAUGUCAUUGCUCUUUCUUGUACUGAUUCUUCUUUAUAUAAAUAAUAUUAUAGUAUACAAUAUUAACACCCACCUGGGCCUGGCUGAUUUGAUCAAGACAACAGUGUAAAAAAUGAAAAAUGUAACACGAAAGUCUAAAAUAGAAAAAAAUGCAAAAUGUCAAGUCCCGGUGGGACAUGCUCUUGUCUCCUUCUCCGCCUUAUUUUUGUGUUGUUGACUUGUUUCCAUCUACCAACUUCUCUUCAUCUCAAUCAAUUGUAUAAUUACUCCUGUUCCAAUUCAUGUUAAUCUGUUUCAAGAGAAUGUCACACUUAUAUAAUUAAAAAUAAUUUCAUUAAUUUAAACAAAAAAAAAAAAAACCGUUCACCCCAAAUGGCAAAAAGAUAUUUUAGAUCAUAAAUUUCAAAAGUUUUUACUUCUAUCUUAAAUUUGAACUAAAUAAAACAGUGUCACAUAAAUUAAUAUGGAGUAAUAAAUGUCACACCCCUUUUCGACUCCAAAAGAUUCUGGAUUAAGUUUCGAAAGGGUUUUUGUUAUUAAGUGACAAAAUGAAGAAUUUUUGUUUUGAAAAAGGAUUAUUUACAUUUUUUAUUCAGAGUCGCCACUUGACAUAAAUUAGGUGUGCCAAGUCACCUUUAGAAAUCCAUUUUCAAAACAGUUUGACUCUAAAACUAAUCCGCGAAUAGAGAUUCCAGCUAAGAAAUUUUGUUGACCGAGGGGAAGGUGUUAGACACCCCUCGAUCCCGUGGUUCGACCACGGUUGCUUGGUGAAGCAUGUCGGCUAAUUUGAACACUAUGAAUGUAUAAACCAAACAACACACAAAUCAAACAAACAAACAAAUCAAAUGAAAUUCAAAAACCAAAAUAAUGUCAGUCCGAUUUAAUACAGUCCAAAAAUAAAAAAGAUGCAAAAAUGUAAAUCCUAUUCUAAACUAAUCCUAGACUAUGCUUUACCCGACGCCUCGGGUCUUCAACACGAUCAUCCUCCGCAAACAUGAUACGUCGGGGCAUUCUCCGGUGAAUAAACACAAAUACCUUGGGGCAUUCCUCGGCCAAAUGGUACAUUUGAUGCAAAAGCAAUAAAACCAAGUCAUUCAACACAUGUCAAGCAUUCAAGAUUUCACAAUUCUUACAUUUGCCUACCCAACUCGGCUUAUGAUUCUAUCACGUUCAACAAUAUUCAUGCUGAUUCCGAAUUAAACAAAACAACAAUAAAUCAAAAUUAAUCUAAAUUCACCUUUUUUAUCAAUUUCUCAAUUCCACCCCCAAAUUCCUUUUCAAUACAAACCCACAUUCAUAUUAUCAUCACCUACAAUUGAUAUCAAUUAUUAAAAAGCAAACAACAUCAAAUCAUCACCCAAAUAUCCAAACAAAUAGGACAAAGGCAUCGAAUCACAUCGAAAUUAAAAUAAAGAGAAAAAUGAGAAAAAUUGACCUCAAAUGAAGCUUUCGAACUCAAUAUUAUUUGAAUAAAGAGAAUCCACACCCGAAAACCUCAAAUGAACCUCGAUGACGAAUCCAGUCCAACUUCGAUAUAUUUGACCCCGACAAAAUCACAAAAAAAAUAGAAAAGGCACGAACCCAUUUUCCUAUGCAUGAUUUCGUCUCAUCGUUCUCCGACGGGUUUUAACAGAAAAGGGGAAGGAAUAGGCUGUUUGGAUCGAAAAAUAACGACGGGGGAAGUCAGUUUGUUGUUGUGACUUCGCCGGAGCUCCAGUGAGCUCUGGAAGUGACGAAAACCGGAGAGUGGGUCACGUUUUCUGUUGCUUCAACGUUUUCCAGCGAGAAAUUCGCCGGAAACAGUUAAACCCAACGCCCUUUUCUCUCUGUUCUUUCUGAUAUUUUCGAUCUGCCUCCCUCUCUUUAUUCUCAGUUACGAUCUCUCUCUUUCUUCGAUUGAUUUCAGCUCAUCAUCGCCCUUCUCCCUCUCUCUUUGAUCUCACAAUUUCUCCCUUGCUCUAAUCUCUUGUUCUCUAUCUCCUUCGUCUCUCGUUUUCUCCACCCCGUGCGUAUGAGUGUGUUACUGUGUUUAUGGUAAGGAUUAGUGAUGGGAAUGAGUGGUGUGUGAAAAAAAUGGAAGGGAAUCUUGUGUGCUUCCCCUUCGUAUAUGGCAAUGGUGAUAGGUAUAUGUGAUAGUGAAUUAUGGAGAAGAUGGAUGUUGAUGAUGUGGACCCUCCAGAGGUAAAGAAAAUCUCGUGAGGAGUAUGUUCUUCUCCUCAAUUGUGUUAACUGUCAAGAGGAAAAAGAAAAACUUGAAAUCUUUUUUCCCAGUGGGGCCCUUGUGAGUGGAAAAAAUGUAUAUUGUAUACUUUUUUUAGUGAUGUCCACCUUUACAGUGAAUGUAGUGCAUUCCAUUUUUGGAUGGUAGGUGAUGAAAUAAUUUCAUGGUCCCCACCUCUAUUUGUUGUCUUGUGAAUUGGUUUCAAAGUGAAUAAAAUGUGAGGGGUAAGGGUUACGUUGGUGGGGUGAUGAGGUAGGGUAGGUGGGGUAGGUUGGUUAGGAUAAGGUUUUUAAUUUGUUAGGGAGUUUGUUUUUUUUGUAUUUUUGUAGGGUAUGAUCACAUGGAUGGAGAUACGUGGUAAGACAAGGUAAAAAUGGGGAGAUUGAGUUUCGGAAGCGACAAAAUUACGUGUCUACAUCAUGCCGCUCUUUGCAUGUAAACACAAAGUGUUUUCAUACAAAGAAGUAGACAAAGAGACAAAAUUUUGACCCGACCAUUAUUCAAAGAAAAAAAAUAAAAGGAAGAAGAGCAACUGGGUCUUGACUUAGGACAACCUACCUACCCAAGUUAUGGAGGAAUCGAGUACCGGUAUUUCCAAAGGACUGGAAAGAGAAGGACUAUACCGAGUUGGAGAGUCAAUUUAGGUUCCAUCGAGGUUCCGGUCAGCGGCUCUGUUAUUACAUCAAAAUAAAAAUUACAAGUUAAAACAUAAAUGAAAUUACAAAAUCCUAUCUAUGCAGUUUCUUUUGGACUCUUGACUUGAGUUUCAUCACCCUAUUCUUCAGGCGAACUCCUGACUUUCUAUUUCUUUAACUUGUUGCUUGCCUUUCGAUUUCUUCACCCUGUUCUCCAGGCGGGUUCCUGACUUGCUAUUUCAUCAACUUGUUGCCAUGCUUUCAAGUUCUUCACCCUGUUCUGCAGGCGGGCUCCUGACUUGCUAUUUUUCAAUCUGUUUAACUUUCAAUUUCUUCACCUUGUUGCUUGGUUUUCCAUUUAUUCGCCCUAUGCUUUGGGCAGGCUCCUGAAAUCACAUCAAAACUAAAAAAGAAAAUAUCUCAAACAAAUAUUAUUAUAAAGAGGUUUUAUUUUCCAGAAAAGUAAAGUUUCAAAAACAAAAAUUGAAUUUUUGCCCCAGUUUAUCAUCAAAAGACUUUUGGAAAAGUCACAUCAUACCUACUUGCAUGUUGCAAUGAUGAAUCAAGACUCUGACUAAGAAAUGCAUCUCUUAAGAGUAAAAUUAAAUAACCAAGACUAGGAAGUGCAUCUCCUAAGAAUUAAAGUGAGGGAUUCUAACUAGAAAUUCGGUCUUCUAGAGAUACAAGUUUAAGCUAAAAAGUAUGCCACCUGACAAAUGAAAACUAGCAAGGAAGAGCAUAUUCUUAGGGUUAAGUGCGAUAACUCGACUAGAAAGUGCAUCUUCUAGGAAUCAAGACUUAAGUUAGGAAGUGCAUCACCUAAAAAGCAAAAUUCGAAUUACCUAAUCAAGAAAGUGCAUCUCCUUACCAAUGUUGCUUGAAUUAUCAAAACAAAGAAGUGCAUUUCCUUACCAAUACAGCUUGAAUUACCAAAAUAAGGAAGUGCGUAUCCUUACCAAUGCCGCUUGAAUUACUCAAAUAAGGAAGUGCAUCUCCUCAGAAAUGUCUCUUGAAUUACUCAAACAAGGAAGUGCGUCUCCUUACAAAUGUUUCUUGAAUUGCCCAAACCAGGAAGUGCGUCUCCUUACAAAUGUUGCUUGAAUUACCCCAAACAAGGAAGUGCAUCUCCUUAUCAAAUGCCUCUUGAAUUACCUAAAGAAGAAAGUGCAUCUCCUUACAAAUACCGCUUGAAUUGUCCAAACAAAGAAGUAUGUCUCCUAACAAGUGUUGCUUGAAUUACCCGAACAAGGAAGUGCGUCUCCUUACAAAUGUUGCUUGAAUUACCCCAAACAAGGAAGUGCAUCUCCUUACAAAUGUCAAUCGAAUUACCAAACAAGGAAGUGCGUCUCCUUACAAAUGUUGCUUGAAUUAUCAAACAAGGAAGUGCCUUUCCUUACAAAUGUUGCUUGAAUUUCCACACAAGGAAGUGCGUCUCCUUACAAAUGUUGCUGAAAUUACCCGAACAAGGAAGUGCGUCUCCUUACAAAUGUCGAUCGAAUUACCAAACAAGGAAGUGUGUCUCCUUUGAAAGUGCAUUUCCUUAUGAUAGUGCUUGAAUUACCAAAAUAAGGAGGUGUGUCUCCUUACAAAUAUUGCUUGAAUUGUCAAAACAAGAAAGUGCGUCCCCUUACAAAUGUUGCUAGAAUUACCCAAACAAGGAAGUGCGUCUCCUUACAAAUGUUGCUAGAAUUACCCGAACAAGGAAGUGCGUCUCCUUACAAGUGCCAAUCGAAUUACCAAACAAAGAAGUGCGUCUCCUAACAAAUGUUGCUUGAAUUAUCAAACAAGAAAGUGUGUUUCCUCAUAAAUGUUGCUGGAUUUACCAAAUAAAGAAGUGCGUUUCCUUACAAAUAUUGCUGGAAUUACCCAAACAAGGAAGUGUGUCUCUUUACAAAUGUUGCUAGAAUUACCAAAAUAAGGAAGUGCGUCUCCUUACAAAUGCCGCUUGAAUUACCAUGGGUUUGAAUACCAAAUAUGUGCAGCAACAUUGCCUCUUGCAUUUGUAGAAGUGAGAAUAUUACGGCCCUUGAUGUUUAGGCAUUGAAAUCCUUGAUUCGAAGGUAGAAUGUGUUCCUAUUUCAUACAAAGAAAACUUGUUAGUUUAAAAACAUGGUGGUUGGUUUGUGGCUUUGGCUUUUGUGGAAAUCGCUCUUGCCCCUGUCACAUUAAUCUUGCUUUCGACCAUUAGCAUAUGCCAUUGACUUGCUGCAUCAUUGAUCCAAACUCAAAUUAUUAAGAGUUCUUCUGAAACAAACACAGUAUCUUUGCUUUACCAUGCUUCUCAGAUAAACUCUUUGACCCUUCGUAUUUUCGUGAAUUCCCAAAAUUUUCUGUUGAAACAACUUUCUGCAUGCCUUAUUUCGGCUCACAAUCAUGUCUCUUUCAUGUGUUGGUCUUUUGUCUUGCUUUCUGCAAUUGAAGAAGCUUGUAGCCAGUUUUAAAAUCUUUUCUCUCUUGUUUCGACAUAGACUUGACUCAACAACAAGAGAAAAUGACAAUGACUUUUAUUUGGAUAACUGACUCAAGAAAGAUAAACAAAAUAAAGAGAAAAAAGAAAAGCUAAUGAAUGUCCCUAUUGAAACUAAGAAAUAAAAAUUUAUCUAAAAAUGACAGUCAACUCCAAAGAUUAUGCCAUGCAUUUUGGGUCAGGCUGCCUGAUCUUUCCAUCCAAACUUUCUACCAAUUGUUGUUGAGUUAAUGGCCUUGAAAAUGAGUUGUUUCCUUAGGUCAAUUACAUUUAAGACCUCGUUUGGCUAGUGGCGCCUUGGAGGGUUUUUUUUUCAACAAGCCUCUCUCAUUUUUUUCUAGCUCACCAUUGUCUUAUGGUGUCCGUGAGGGUUUUUCACCAAUGAGACUCUCUUAUUUUCAUUUGUCUCAACUCACCGUCGACUUACAGUGCCCAUGAGGAUUUUUGCCGAUAAGACUCUCUCAUUGUUAUCUCUCUCAGCUUACCAUUAUCUUACGGUGCCCGUGAGGGUUUUCACCUAUAAGACUCUCUCAUUUUCAUUUCUCUCCUGAUUCCUUAUGCCAAGAAAGACAAGUAGUUCCCAAAAUGCAUCAUCACAUUCAUUGCAUGCUUAGCCUUAACAUUCUCAAAGAUUGAUCUGAAGGUCUUUCUUUGGUUGUAACUUGGCUUUUGGAUAAGGUUAGAAAGGAUGAUUUGAGGCCCAAACGACACUUGAAGUGGGGUGGGACUUACAACUUUCGAAAUUGACUCAAACAAUGAGGAUCAACUCAUGCCCCAGUUUCUUUUGACUGGAAAAUACUAAAUUGUUUAUUUGGUUGGACCGAGCCCAGAGUAGGGAAGCCUACGUAUCUCACUCCUAAGAGAUGAGAAUCAAGUCACGCGUAGUUCUGGCAGCUUGUUGUUUCGCUUUGAUCUGAUUUUCCUUUUUUUUUUCUUUUAUUCGCUCUUUUCACUUUGCGAUUCUUUUUUCUUGACACUCUUUUUUUUUUUAGAAACAUUUUGUCUCUUUUUUGUAACUUUUUGACUUUAUCUUUUUACUUGACACUAUUCUUUGAACUUUGCUUACUCUAUCUUGAUUCCAAAAGAGGGUUAUGAAAGAAAAUAACACUAAGGCUCAAAUGGGGUAAACAAAGGAUGACACAAUGUUUGGAUAACAGAAUGAAAUGCAUUCAUCAUAUCAAUCCUUGAGAAUGCAAGUACAUAAUAUGCAAUUGGAAGUGAGAGAUGAAGAUCAUUUGCGACAUCUUUUUAAGCAGAUUGAGUUUGUCGUCACUACUUCUUCUGUAAACUCCACUUUUGUUGUACAUUCCUCACAUCAAAUGACUCAUGCUUUCGUGGAGCUUCUUAUCUUCUUGUUUCUCUUGAUAUAGGGAUCACACGUCCACUAUUUGACCUAAUUGGGACUUACCUUUCGUUCACGCCAUCUAAUCACGUACUCUUUGAAAGUUUCAGUACUCUUUUUCUUCAUAUUAGUUAAGGAUUUCUCGUCAGGAAUCAACUCCAUAUUGUAUUGAAAUUGUUGCACGAAUUCAUUAGUCAGGUCAUCCCAGCUAUUCUACUUGUCGGUGUCUUGGUCAACAAACCAUUCUGAAGCUAGACCUGAAAGACUCUCACCAAAAUAUGCCAUGAGUAAUUCUUCCCUCCCUCCAGCGCCCUUUAGAUGGUUGCAAUAGUUUCUCAAAUGUGCUACAGGAUCGCCAUGUCCAUCAUACUUCUCAAACUUCGGCAUUUUAAAACCAAGAGGAAGAUGUACACCUGGAAACAUGCACAGAUCUUUAUAUGAGACACUUUUGUUCCCCCCAAGUCCUUACAAGUUUUUCAUAGUCAGUUCCAAACUUCUCAAUUUUCUGGCUAUUUCCUCUUGUUCUUCUAUCAUAACAGGUUUCUCAGUGUUAGGAGAAAAUUCAGGCGAUUGAGGGCAAUCGUAAGGACCAGUCCACUUAAAUGUGGGCUUGAGAGCGUAAUGAUGAUCACUAAAAAUAUUCAAUACAGGGUCGCUUGAAGGGUGAGGAAUCACAACCAUUGGAUUGACAUUAAAAGCAGGAGCUUCAGACGGGAGUGGGGCUGCAAAAGCAUGAAUAACAGGCGAAGCCGAGCAUGUGGUAAUUUUGGAUUGAGGAGUGAGGAAAUGAAUAUUGGAAGUGUUUGGAUACUGUUGCCCCCGAGUAGGUCCUGAUGCAUGUUGUGGCGUGUCGAUCAAAAUAGGAAAUUGUGCAUGUGACACUGGAGGCAAACCUGAAAGAUAUUUCAGAUUAUCUGCAGAAAAUAGAGGAGGCGGCAACCCAUUAGCCGAAGCUCGAUGCAUUUCUAUCAUUUGUUGCCUCAAUUUCCGAAUCUCUUCAUUAGCUCCUACAUUUUCAUUCCCCAAACUCCCUAUCUGAUUAGUGACAACAAACUCGGUAUCCUUGUUGGCCAUAACUUUCUCUGUGACUUGGAGCAAUAUGGAGGACCAGCCAAAAUGCCACAAACCAACCACCAUAAACUAACUGGACAAGAGAUAGCAAAUGCGUUAGAGUUCAAUGAUUUUUCAAAACCUCUUCUUCUUUUUAUAUCUUGAAAAAAAAAUCACCGAACCCUAGAAGGGCGCCUACGUAUCUCACCCCCGAAAGAGGAGAAUCAGGUGUGCGUAGUUCGUGAAGUUUUGCCAAAAUGACCAAUUAAACUCUUUUUUCUUUCUUGAAACAAAGUGUCAAAAGAAUUGGCAAAAAUCUUUUUGCAUUUUUUUUAGGUUUAAAUCUCUAUACAAAAUGAAACCUGUGAUAACCAAAGAAAAAUCUUUUUGGAUUUUCGAUUUUUGAAUUUCAUGUGAAAAUGAAACUUGAACCUAUUAAAGAAAAAUAUUUUUGUAGUUUUCUUUUAAAGACAUAUAUGAAACGCCUACUCUAAAUGGAGAGUGAAGAAAUAUUUUUUGGAUUUUUUAAAUAAGAUCCUCGAACCAACAAUAGGCUGCCUACGUAUCUCACUUCCGAAAGAGGAGAAUCAGGGGUGCGUAGUUCGUCCAGAUUGGACAAUUAAUGAUUAAAUAAUAGGCUAGACCCUGACUUAAGAGACACGACCAAAGACAGACGAUGAACCAUGUCAAUAAAAUCUUUUGAGUUUUCAUUUUGAUUCUUCACAGAAAAAUGACAUCAACAACUAUGAAAGAAAAUUUUUUUUGGUAUUUUCGUUAUACGAAACGUAAAAAAUUUCUGACAUCUUUUUUUUUGCAGUUUUCUUUUAUAAACACAUCCUAUGAAUGAAAAAAAAUCUUUUUGAAGUUUUCGAAUUGUGAAUGCAUGCUAAACGAGACAAAGGAAAAUCUUUUUGAUGUUUUUGAGAAAAUAAGUGAGAAAGGUAAAAAAGUCCUUUUGAAUUUUGGAAUUGUGAAGAAUAAAAGCCAUAAAAAACUCUAAAAACUAUGAAACUCUUUUUUUCUUUUUUCUUAUUUUUUUUCAUUACCUACACACUUUACUUCUAACACAUGUUUUUCCCAAAUCAGUCCAUCAAAUGACCACGUUAUCCUCAAAGAUGCAAUAUUUAGCACAUAGGGAUGCUUUAGAGGUGAGUCUCCUACAAAGGACCAAGUGGGCCCCGCUAGGUCUCAAUAUGAUGCACAUAAGCAUGAACUAAAGGCUUACCUACGUUGGGGUUCACUAACAAGGUUGUUCGGGGGAGCGUAUGGUCGAUAGUGGCUACGACAGCUUUCCAUCUACUCCAUAACACCGAUGGCUCCCCCCCUAAAAUAAGGGUGACUCAACUAGAGGUCGUGUACAACACGUGUACUAUAGACUUGUUGCAGAAAGAAGGUCGGGGGUAGACACAUGAUGCCAGAUAUAAAAGCGGUAACACAUAGGAUAAAUACUGUACACAAAGAGCACGAAAACAUUCCAUAAUGAUAAAACAAUAACACAAUACAACACACAAAAAAAAAUAUUUAUACACUUAUAGUUCCAAACAAAGUCGAUACGACUCCAAAAUAAGCUCGAAUUCUGAACAAGUUCCCCAGCAAAGUCGACAGAGCUGUCACACCCCUUUUCGACUCCAAAAGAUUAUGGAUUAAGUUUCGAAAGGGUUUUUGUUAUUAAGUGACAAAAUGAAGAAUUUUUGUUUCGAAAAAGGAUUAUUUACAUUUUUUAUUCAGAGUCGCCACUUGAUAUAAAUUAGGUGUGCCAAGUCACCUUUGGAAAUCCGUUUUCAAAACAGUUUGACUCUAAAACUGAUCCGCAAAUAGAGAUUCCAGCUAAGGAAUUCUGUUGACCGAAGGGAAGGUGUUAGGCACCCCUCGAUCCCGUGGUUGAACCACGGUCGCUUGGUGAAGCAUAUCGGCUAAUUUGAAUACUAUGAAUGUAUAAACCAAACAAAACACACAAAUCAAACAAACAAACAAAUCAAAUGAAAUUCAAAAUCCAAAAUAAUGUCAGUUCGAUUUAAUACAGUCCAAAAAUAAAGAAGAUGCAAAAAUGUAAAUCCUAUUCUAAACUAAUCCUAGACUAUGCUUUACCCGACGCCUCGAGUCUUCAUCACGAUUAUCCUCCGCAAUCAUGAUACGUCGGGACAUUCCCCGGUGAAUAAACACAAAUAGCUCGGGGCAUUCCCCGGCCAAAUGGUACAUUUGUUCCAAAAGAAAUAAAACCAAGCCAUUCAACACAUGUCAAGCAUUCAAGAUUUCACAAUUCUUACAUUUGCCUACCCAACUCGGCUUAUGAUUCUAUCACGUUCAACAAUAUUCAUGCUGAUUCCGAAUUAAACAAAACAACAAUAAACCAAAAUUAAUCUAAAUUCACCUUUUUUAUCAAUUUCUCAAUUCCACCCCCAAAUUCCUUUUUCAAUACAAACCCAUAUUCAUAUUAUCAUCACCUACAAUUGAUAUCAAUUAUUAAAAAGCAAACAACAUCCAAUCAUCACCCAAAUAUCCAAACAAAUAGGACAAAGGCAUCGAAUCACAUCCACAAUCACAUCGAAAUUAAAAUAAAGAGAAAGAUGAGAAAAAUUGACCUCAAAUGAAGCUUUCGAACUCAAUAUUAUUCGAAUAAAGAGAAUCCACUCAAAUGAACCUCGAUGACGAAUCCAGUCCAACUACGAUAUAUUCGACCCCGACAAAAUCACAAAAAAAAAGAAGGCACGAACCCAUUUCCCUAUGCAUGAUUCCGCCUCAUCGUUCUCCGACGGGUUUUAACAGAAAAGGGGAAGGAAUAGGCUUUUUGGGUCGAAAAAUAAGGACGGGGGAAGUCAGUUUGUUGUUGUGACUUCGCUGGAGCUCCGGUAAGCUCUGGCAGUGACGAAAAUCAGAGAGUGGGUCACGUUUUCUGUUGCUUCAACGUUUUCCAGCGAGAAAUUCGCCGGAAACAGUCAGACUCAACGCCCUUUUCUCUCUGUUCUUUCUGAUAUUUUCGAUCUGCCUCCCUCUCUUUAUUCUCAGUUACGGUCUCUCUCUUUCUCCGAUUGAUUUCAGCUCACCAUCACCCUUCUCCCUCUCUCUUUGAUCUCACGAUUUCUCCCUUGCUCUAAUCUCUUGUUCUCUAUCUCCUUCGUCUCUCGUUUUCUCCACCCCGUGCGUAUGAGUGUGUUACUGUGUUUAUGGUAAGGAUCAGUGAUGGGAAUGAGUGGUGUGUGAAAAAAAUGGAAGGGAAUUUUGUGUGCUUCCCCUUCGUAUAUGGCAAUGGUGAUAGGUAUAUGCGAUAGUGAAU
RNAcentral lists this long non-coding RNA (79682 nucleotides) under Capsicum annuum. RNAcentral describes it as "long non-coding RNA (CANN_LNC006124)". The record is from RNAcentral. Lineage: Eukaryota; Viridiplantae; Streptophyta; Magnoliopsida; Solanales; Solanaceae.